RNAcentral lists this long non-coding RNA (44314 nucleotides) under Ananas comosus (pineapple). RNAcentral's name for it is "long non-coding RNA (ACOM_LNC012721)". Lineage: Eukaryota; Viridiplantae; Streptophyta; Magnoliopsida; Poales; Bromeliaceae. The record is from RNAcentral.
GAGAGAAAAAAACUUAAUUUAAUAGCCGAAUUUUUGAUCCCGAAUUUUUAAUUGGUGAACGUAUAAUAUCCGUAUAAAUCUCGUAUCCGAAUAAUUGACGAAUCCGUUUUUUAGCCGUUUUUUUCAACGAAUUUAAAAAUUAGAAGACGAAUUUUAUCCGAAUUAUAUCCGUACCGAAUUUUUGCCGAAUCCGAAUUAACUAACUAUGGUUUCUCUCGUUCUUUUUUUUUUCUCGCCGGCAGAGCGGAGGCGGAGCGGAGGCAGAAACGGUCCGUCUCGCCUCUCACCCUCAUGCUCUUGCCCUCGCCCUUGCCCUCGUCCAUGCACCCCCCACCUUCCUCGCCUCCGACCCCGCCAAGGCCGCGCCGCGACUUUUUUUUUUUGCUUUUUUCUUUUCUUUUCUUCUUCGACUCUUCUCCACCGUCUCCGUCGACGACGCCUCUCGCCCUUCCCCGCCCUUCUCAUCUCUCCCUCUCCCUCAUUUUCUGCCGCCUUCGACGAUGAUUUAUUUUCGCCGGCGCCGACGUCGACACCGUAGAGGUCACUGUGGCGCUACAGCCUGAGAGCGGGGGGUCCUUAGCGGCGUCGUCACCGGCACUGUAGCUGUUGGCAGAGACGGUGACAAAAAAAAUUAUAGAAAAAAUAAAAAAAAAUAAAGAUAAAAAAUUAUAUAAAAAGAAGGAUGAAAAUGAAAUUGCAUCGUUAAUUACAAAAAAAUUAUAAGUUGCAUUAUUUAAGAUGUAAACUGCUGCUUUAAGAUAAAAAUUAUACUCUUUGAACGAAAAUUAUACUAUUUUUUAUCUUAAACUGCAUCCUUUUAAGUGAUAUUUAUACUGUUUAUCCUCUUGUUGUAUGUUUCUCCUCUUGUUGCACUAUUUCUCCUCUUGUUUACAUAGAAAUGAUGCAACAAGAGGAGAAACAGUAUAAAUAUCUCUUAAAAUGGUGCAGUUUCUCCUCUUAUUGCAUUGUUUUUUCUCUUGUUGCACUAUUUCUUCUAUUGUUUACACAGAAAUCGUGCAACAAGAGGAGAAACAGUACAACAAGAGAAGAAACAGUAGAUAUAUCUCUUAAAACAGUGCAGUUUUUUCUCUUGUUGCACUAUUUUUUCUCUUGUUUAUACAGAAAUGAUACAACAAGAGGAGAAACAGUAUAUAUAUCUCUUAAAAUAGUGCAGUUUCUCCUAUUGUUGCACUGUUUCUUCUCUUGUUGCACUAUUUCUUCUCUUGUUUAUACAGAAAUGGUGCAACAAGAGGAGAAACAGUGCAACAAGAGGAGAAACAGUAGAAAUAUCUCUUAAAAGAGUGUAGUUUAAGAUAAAAAAAUAAUAUAACAAGAGAAAAAAUGGUGCAACAAGAGGAGAAACAGUAUAACUUUUGUUUAAAGAGUGUAACUUUCAUCUUAAUGGAUGCAGUUUACAUCUGAAAGAGUGUAAUAAGAAGAGAAACAGUGUAAAUAUCUCUCAAAGAGUGUAAUUUUCGUUUAAAGAGUAUAGUUUUCAUAUUAAAGCUGCAGUUUACAUCUUAAGUAGUGCAACUUAUAAUUUUUUUUGCAGUUAACGAUGCAAUUUCAUGUUCAUCAUUCUUUUAUAUAAUUUUUUAUCUUUAUUUUUUUUUCUGUUUUUUCUAUAAUUUUUUUUGUCAUUCUCUCUGCCAACAGCCACGGUGCCGGCGACGACGCCGCUAAGGACACCCGCUCCGAGCCUGUAGCGCCGCAGUAACCUCCACGAUGUCGACGUCGGCGCCGGCGAAGAUGUAUCGUCGUCGGAGGCGGCAGAGAAUGAGGGAGAGGGAGAGAUGAGAAGGGCGGGGAAGGACGAGAGAGGCGUCGUCGUCGGAGACGGUGGAGAAGAGUCGGAGAAGAAAAGAAAAGAAAAAAGCAAUAAAAAAAAAAAGUCGCGGUGCGGCCUUGGCGGGGUUGGAGGCGAGGAAAGUGGGGGGUGCGUGGAUGAGGGCAAGGGUGAGGGCGAGGGCGAGGGCGAGAGAAUGAGGGUGAGAGACGAGACGGACCGUUUCUGCUUUCGCUCUGCCGGCGAGAAAAAAAAAAGAACGAGAGAAACGAGAAGGAAAGAGAAAGAGGAAAGAGAAAAAGUAAAAAGGGUAUUUUGGUCAGUUUGUUGAAAAAGCGGACCGAAUCUAUAAAAACGAAAAAGAUGGCCCAAUUUUAUAAAAUUCUAAAAUAAAUAAAUUUUUUAUGCAAAUUGACCAAAGAAAAAAAAAGAAAAAGAAAAAGAAAAAGAGACCCAGCAAAUGCCCACACUGCCACACUGCCACACACCAACCAUUAAACACAACCACCUACAAAAUCAAUUAACACAACACACACCUCCCUCUAGGGCUGGCAAAUGAGCGAGCCGGCUCGCGUUCGACUCGCGUUCGACUCGAUAUUUGGCUCGCUCGAGCUCGACUCGAAAUUAAAUGAGCCGAGCUUGAACAAAAAAAAAAGCUCGAAAUUCAUUUCAAGCCGAGCUUGAGUAUUACUCGGCUCGUUCGAAUUAGGCUCGAAAAGCUCGAAAAGCUCGAAUAUAUAUAUAUAUAUAUAUAUAUAUAUAUAUAGUAGAGCUACUAUGCUAUCGAAAGUAUAGAGAUAUGGUGCUUUCGAUUUUUUGAUUCUUAGAUCAAUCCCUUUAAUCGUUUCUUAUCUUUGGAUUAAUAUUAUUAUUACCUUGUAGGGACCACUCAAUCUUCUAAUAGUAUAUUUAAUACCUAGUGAGACCCAACAUUCUCAAACCAUAAAAUUUUAUAAUCAAAGGGUCAAAACUUUCCAAACAUCAAAUCCUCUGAUAUUUUUCGUAGCAUAGUAGUCCAUACAUUAUAUAAUAUAUAAAAAAUAUAUAAAAUAAGUAAUAAUUUUAAUUAUAUAUCAGGCUAGUGAAUAAUCUGAGUUUAGUUAAAAUUGGACCAAUGUUAUUGGCACCAUAAAAACAAUAUAUAAUAGGACAAAUAGAAAGGAGCAAAUCUAACUAAAUUUAUAUAUAUUCUUUUCUGUCUUUUACAUUCUUUCUUUACAGAGCUCUAAAUUUUACAAAAUAGUUUCUCUUCUUUCUCUUUUUCUGUCUCUCACCGCUAAGUGGCCCGAAGCGGGAAGCCCUCUAAGUUACCCAAGUAACAUCCAUAUGCCGCUGUUGCCUUACCUUGCUAUUAAUUGUAUACUUGAGAAAAAAUAUACGGAUAUUUUUUAAAUAAAAAUUUACUUAUUCAUAUAAAAUUUUAUUUUAGUAUCAUAUUAUUAGCAUGUUAAAUCCAAUAUUUAAUAUUAAUUUAUUUAUUUUGACUUGCAAUAAGAUGAAAUAAAUUAAAAUGAGAUUUGAAGGCGGAAGUAAGAUAUGUGAGUUUGAAAAAAUUAGACAUAUUCAACUCACUAAAUUAUAUUUUUUUACAUUUAUAAUGACUAGUAUUUCAUAUAAUUAUUUUGUACUUUGAACUAUUAGAAUAUUUUGAUCAAUUAUAGAUAAUGAUUCUAUACAAAUUAAGACUAUUGAUCGUAUAAUGUUGAGAAUUUCUAAGACGGCUCGUUUAGGCGACUCGCUGAUAUUCGCUGACUCAAAAGGUCUAGCUCGGCUCGAAUUAAUUUCAAUCAAGUUUGAGCUUAAAUUAGGUCGAAAAUUAAUUUCAAGCCGAAAUAUUGGCCGAGUAAGCUCGCUCGAGCUCGGCUCGUUUCCACCCCCCUACUCCCUCCCCCUCUCUCUCUCUCUCUCUCUCUCUCUCUCUCUCUCUCUCCCUGAGAUGGUAUAGGACUACAUCUUGUCAGAAAGCUAUGAUGAAUACAUUAAUCCCAUGCAGCAGUAGCAGUUGCAGUAACAGUAGCAGCAGUAGCACUCCUCUCUGCCUCGUCCUAUUGUUACUUCUGCUCUCCAUCUCAUGCACUACUGCUCGCUCGCGGGACACGAUAACUGUAGACAGUCCGCUCGCGGAGAACGAGACGCUCGUCUCCGCGGGCGGCUACUUCGCCCUCGGCUUCUUCAACCCCCCAAACAACCCCGACCGCUACAUCGGCAUCUGGUACAACACCAUCCCCACGCAAACCGUCGUCUGGGUCGCCAACCGCCUCGACCCCGUCGACGCCUCCCCCUCCUUCCUCUCUCUCUCCCCCGACGGCAUUCUCACCCUCUCCUCCCCCAACUCCUCCACCCCACUCUCCACCACCGCAACUACCUUAACCAACCCCGUAGCCCAACUGUUGGACACCGGUAACUUCGUCGUGCGAGAAGCGACCGACGGCGGCGAUGCGGCCGCGUGGCAGAGCUUCGACUAUCCGACGGACACGCUGAUAGCCGGGAUGAAGCUGGGGGUUGACCGGCGGCGGGGGCUGAACUGGACGCUGACCGCCUGGCGAAGCGGGUCGGACCCGGCCCCGGGCGAGUACUACGCGGCGAUGGACACGGCGGGGGACCCGGAGGUGUUCCUCUACUCCGUAGCGGGUCGGGCGCGGAUCUGGCGAACGGGCCCGUGGGACGGGGUCCAGUUCAGCGGCGUCCCGGACACGGUCACGUACCAGGACUUCGCGUUCACGUUCACCAACGACGCCGACGAGGUCUCCUACAGCUUCAACGUCCUGAACCGGUCCAUCAUCUCCCGGCUCGUCGUGAACCAGACCGGGGUCGUGCAGCGGUCCAUCUGGCUCGCGUCGGGCCGGGUGUGGAACAUCUUCUGGUACGCGCCGCGGGACCCGUGCGACGACGUGUCCGCCUGCGGGCCCUACGGGCUGUGCGACCCCAACGACUCCCCCAUGUGCAGCUGCGUGCAGGGGUUCGAGCCGCGGUCGCCGCAGGACUGGGCGCUGCGGGACGGGUCGGGCGGGUGCGUGCGGAGGACGCGGCUCGACUGCGCCAACCGCACCGACGGGUUCGCCAAGGUGAGCCACGUGAAGCUCCCGGACACCACGAACUGUACGGUGGACCCGACCGUGGGGCUCGACCGGUGCGCCGCCAGGUGUUCGGCGAAUUGCUCGUGCACCGCCUACGCGGCCGCGAAUGUCAGCGGUGGGGCCCGGAGUGGGUGCGUUAUGUGGCACUCCGAGCUCACCGACAUGCGGGUCUACGUAGGCACGGGGCAGGAUCUGUACGUACGCUUGGCCGCGGCUGAUCUAGGUACGUACACGUACGUAUAAUAUACGUGCUAUCUAUUUAUUUAGUAAAUUAUUUAUACUUGCAAAUUGAUAGCUAUAUAAUACAAUAUAUAUACCCACACACUCGGAUUAUUCUCCUGCAUUUUCUUCGGAAUGGUCCCACAUAAAUCUCAGUGCUUGAUUGAUGAUCGAUAAAGACGUCUAAUUAAUCAGCUAUUUCAUGUAGCCAUCCUUAUCUAGUCAUAGUCUAUAGCCUCUCGCCAGCUUCUGAAAUUGUUUUUGUACUAAGAUUAAUUUUUUUGUUUUAUUUUUUUAGUCUUGUACGUAGAAACAAAUUACUUGAAAUCUGAAGCUAAUUAAUGCAAACUGUAUUACGAGAAAACAAUUUUACUUUGAGCUUGAAAUAGGAAGCUGAAAUAAGUUCGUAUGUUUUGAAAUCUAAAAGCUAAUUAUCAAGUAAGCAAUUUUAAGAGCAUUAAAACAAAAGGUUAAGGUUAAUUACUAAAUUUUUAUCCUUAAACAAAAUAGUUUGGAGUGGUUGGGUAUCAAGAAGCACAUGAUGUUCGAUAGAAGCCAAAAUUCAACGAGGGUAGUAAACGCCAAAAAAAAAAGCAGCAAAUGGGUAAUGUCGGCAACUGCCUCUACUGUAAUUGGCUUGGAAUGUAGCAUCGGCGCCGACUUAUGACACAGCCGUGCACGUCUUCGCUAACCAUUAAUUUUCCAAGAUUAAUUUGUUAAGGUUUACAAUGACUUGGAAUAGAAACUCUGGCGUGCCGUACCAAAAAGUUGUUGAGACUGGUCGAUGUGAACGAAAAUGUGUCGAUUAUAAAUCCAGUUCGACUUAAACAGCACAAAUGCAUGCAGAUCGAAGCUCUAGUCAUGCAAAUUAAUGAGCCCAUAAAUAGAUCACUUUAUAUGUAUUGUGUACCUGGAAAAUUGAGAAUUAUAUAAGCUUCAGAUUUAGAUCCCCUUGUUUUAUAGAGGAGGCUGAUCUUGUCCAAAUUUGAUUCGACCCCCCUACUGUGAUCACCUUUUGGUAGGGUAAAAAAUGAUUCAGGAUAACAUUUGAUUUACUUAGUUUCUAGUUAAUUUAAUUAGGGUGACAAUUUGAACUUAUAAUAAUUGCCAUGUAUAGCCAAUUAAAUUUCUCUCAUGUGCUUCAUAAAGGAGAAUGGAAUAUUCUAGACCAAAUCCGAAACACUUUUUUUGUGUUCCAUUCUUAAUAGACCCAGCAAGGCACAUGUGGCAUAUUGCUUACCCUGCAGUAUAAUGUGGUCCAAACACACUAAUUUAGUGACUGUAAUAAUCACUUGAACAACCUGAGUUGCAUCACUGUUUGUACAUAUCUCAGUAGCUGAUAUGAGCUGUUAUGAGAUUUAAAAGGAAAAAGUACUGUUGCCUUUAAUUAUUUAGCUUCACUAUCAAGCUGGACCAUGGUUUUAGGGCCUCUGUGGCCUUUUAUGGACCAUGUGAAAGCAUCUAUAUAUAAUGAUGAUAUAUAGGGCUUGAUCUGUAGGAUUGUAGUUUUUUCAUCAAAAUAAUUCCAAUAGCUUUGCAUUGAAGCUAGAAGAAGAAACUAAUGCAGUAGCUAGGUAAAGAGAAAAAUCCUCAGUGAGAAAUAUAGCUAAAGCAAGUACAUCUAUGUUUGAUGGGAGAGUGAUCUUUGGAUAGUGUCUUUCCAUCUUAUUCCAUGGACCUAAUUACUAUCCGCAAUAUUAGCUAGCCUAUAGGGAUCGAUGUUUGGGCUAUCCACUUUCGUGUUCAGAUCGAUUCGAGAAAUUUGCAUAAUAUUUGAUGGAAUAGCAGGGAUGUUUGUUGAUGUCUCCGCUUUAUCCCUCGACUGAACACUGCCUCAACGAUGUUUGGACUUUGGCAUCUAAUAGCUCAUUUCAGCUUCUCACUUAACCAAAAUGUGUUGGACAUUUCGUAAAAUCUAAUCUAGAAGCUGGCCAAACAAAAAUAUAUUACACCUCAAACAAGAUGUGGUUUUCCUUUGAUUAAUUGGAAUAUAUCUUCGCUUAAAUGAGAAGAUAUGGUGCUAAAUUAGGAAUGUCUACAGGUUCAGCCCCAAGCCAGUCUGGCAAGAGUGAUCAUGCACCCAUUGCACUCAUUGUAGGCCUUACUGUAGUGGCAUUCCUACUAGCAUGUGCUGGUUGCUAUAUCUGGAGAAGAAGGAAACUUAGGAAAUCAGGUAAUAAAACUGCUAAUUCAGUACACUUUCAAUAUUGUUUGGAAGCCCAAAUGAGUAUAAAUGGAAAUUAUAAGACAAUUAUUAACCGAUUGAAUAUACAGGUCCAGGCACGUCGGCGAGUACUAUUUCCUUCAGCCAUGAACAGCGCAAGGAGGAAAGUAUUCAAGAUAGUGAUAUAGAGUUGCCAUUAUUUGAUUUGGGCACUAUCGCGGUUGCUACUGAGGGGUUCUCUAACACAAAUAAACUCGGAGAAGGUGGAUUUGGACCAGUUUACAGGGUUAGUUUUUAACCUUUCAUUAACUUUCACAGUUGUGAUGGUUAUGAUUCUUUAAGUUGAGAGAUUAAUUCUGGUCAAAAAAUACAAAUCAGUCACUAUUCUGACAUUGCUAAAGAACCAACUGUAUCUGAAGCUGAAUCUACUCUGUAAUAUAAAUACGUUAUAAGAACUUGGAUUUUCGUAUACAUGAUGUGAAAGUGAGAUGCACUAAGAAAACUUUUGAGGAUGUUUUACCUGAUAGCUUAGGCAUUUUGAAGACCUGCUUAAUGAAUACAUGUAUGAUUACAGUUGAGCAUUUUUAUGAUAAAAAAGAUCUAGUCUUACAUGAUCUAUUUGAAUUAUUUAUGUCAUAAUUGACGAUCAGGGUAAGCUUGGCGACGGACAAGAAAUAGCUGUGAAAACGCUUGCAAAAACUUCAGUGCAAGGUCUCGACGAGUUCAAGAACGAGGUCAUGCUGAUAGCAAAACUUCAGCAUAGGAAUCUUGUUAGGCUACUUGGUUGCUGCAUCCAAGGAGAGGAGAGGAUGCUUAUAUAUGAAUACAUGGAAAACAAAAGCUUGGAUAUGUUUUUGUUCGGUAAGUCCACGCCAUUCAUUCUAAAUGCCUUCUUACUUUGUUUCUACACUAUAAUUUCGACAACGUAAUAUUUUGAUGAAAAGUAAACAGUUUGAGAAUUUUAGCAGAUAAAGCUUACAGCGCAUCACUAAAUUGGCAAACGCGGUAUCGGAUAAUUGAGGGGAUUGCUCGAGGGCUUGUUUACCUUCACCAGGAUUCAAGAUUUAGAGUUAUUCAUAGAGAUUUAAAGGCUAGUAAUAUUCUUCUUGAUAAGGAGAUGAGCCCCAAAAUCUCAGACUUUGGCAUGGCACGAAUUUUUGGCGGUGACGAGACCGAAGUCAAUACAAGAAAAGUAGUUGGUACCUAGUAAGUACAUAUGCUUGCAUAUAUACGAAGCAAUAUACUCUUGAUUAACAGUUCAUAAUCCUUAUCGAUUGUAUUUAAUUUUGCAGUGGAUAUAUGUCUCCGGAAUACGCAAUGGAUGGAAUUUUUUCAGUAAAAUCCGACGUAUUCAGUUUUGGGGUUUUAGUGUUAGAAAUUAUUAGUGGAAGGAGGAACAGAGGAGCAUAUGUUGAUUCCUCACACCUUAAUCUUCUUGCUCAUGUAAGUAUGUUUAAACUCAAACAAUUUAUAUUUUAACUGCUACAUUUUCUUAAACUUUUUGGAUUUAUAUUUAUAUACUUUUCGCAGGCAUGGAGUUUAUGGAAUGAGGGGAAGAGUUUAGAACUAGUAGACGAUUCUAUGGAUUAUUCCUUCCUCGCAAAUGAAGUUCUAAAAUGUGCGCACAUUGGUCUUUUGUGUGUUCAAGAGCACCCCGAGGAUCGUCCCCUGAUGUCGGCGGUCGUUUUGAUGCUUGGUAGUGAUGGAGCAUCACUGCCAACUCCGAAACAGCCCGGUUUUGCAAGGAGGAGGAUUCAGCUCGAUACGGAAUCAUCAUCAAGCAAGCAAGAUUCUAUCACGUUGAACGAUAUGACUAUAACCAUGAUCGAAGGUCGAUAGAAGGAACAAUUAUAUGUGUAGUUUGGCUGAAUUUGGUUUCAAUGAGGAAAUGUUAUAUAUUUGAGGUUUUGAUUUCUUUCUUUUCUUUCUUUUCUUUCCCACUUUUUGAUGGUCGGAAAAUGUAUAAAUAUGUUUACAAUCAUUGGAAUAUAUUUUUUUUCAUGUCGAUGAAAUUGAUACCCAAUUAGCUCAAAAACCUUGAAGUUGUGCAAUUGUUACAUACAUCAAAGGAACAACAAUUUUUUUUUGAUUAAACAGGGGUAUACCCUAUUUUAACAAAGUCAGAACAGAGAGUAUAGAAGCAGUCUAGUAAGGCGAAAAAAUGGAACGGCUAGAACGGCAAGAACAGCAUGGGUUGAUCGCAAUCAAGAUCUAGGAGCAAGAACCCAGAAACCAAAAAAAACCAAAAACCAAAAUCAAAGCCCCAAAAACCCCCAAAAAGCGCACACUCCUAGAUGCUGUCCAUGUCCCCGAGUGCGGCUUUCCUAGAUGCUGUCCAAAAAGAACAACAAUUCUUUCUACCAAUAUGAGUACAAUUGAAGUAUCAAACAAAUUCUUGUACACGAGACUAUUUUCGCGGAAAGAACGUCAAAAUAGUAAAAUCAAUUUCUGCAAAACCUCCAAAAAGAAAACAAAAAAAGAGAAAAAAAAGAAAAGAAAAAAAGUUAAUACACAUCUUUAUCUACCCUCUACAAUUAAUAGCUACAGUUACAAUAUUUGCAGUGUGGCCCUGCGACAAUGAUUCUAUAUCCAAAAAGCCCCUGCCGAUACUAAAUGGAGGCUCAUUCGAGCUUUCCCUGAAAAGAACCAACACAUAGUUAUAAAAAUUUCCAUAAUUAUCUCCGCGCACUUUAUAUCUCAACCUUAAUUGAAUCUACACAUUAGUCACAUCGUUCCAAGAAUUAACUACCAUGUAUACAGGGCCAAAUCCACCCUCUCCAAUCCUAUUAGCCAAUGAGAAACUGUCCGUAGGAUCCAAUAUCGCCCCUAGAUCGAAUGUUGGAAGGUUGAGACCUUCAUGAGUACUUGUUUCAUCUUCGAAGCUAUGAUCUUGUGUUGAUCGUACUUCCCAUCUUGAUUCUGAACCCGCGCACGUAUAUGUCGCAUGCAUGUCAAAUGGCAAGGCUUCUCAUAACAACACUCUGUGCCUUCUCUCUACGUUGCCUAGCUUUUAGGAGCAUCAAUUAUUAUGGAAAUUAAAAGCCAACAUGUAACACCCCAAUAGCAUUUUGGCCAAUAGUUUGGGCCUAACAAGUGAUUAUUACUAGCCAGUCGGAUCACUAUAAUUGGUAUCAGAGCCGAAUAGCAGUCAGAAGUCUGAGAGCUAGAUAUUAUGCAAGACAAAAUACUAUACCAACGGGUUUGGUGAGAGCCGCCUAUUGAAUCAGUAGAAGCCACUUCUAGAAUCUCACAUCGCCCGGUAAUAUUCUGGUUAGUCUGUAAUCUGAGCUUGGACCUGAUGAGAACGUCAUGAUUUAAACAUGCGAGUUUAUAAUGUCUCAAUAGUCUCGCAUCGGAUGAAAAAAUAAUUUUGGUUAGAAUAUAUGAAGGCUCAAAGAUAGUAAUAAUAACUGGGUUUAAACAUUUAGACUAGUAAUUUGGAUCCAACAAGUUAUUAUUAUUAGCUGGUCGGAUCGUCACAAUUAUUAUUAGAGACCAGACAAUCUGUCUGUAAUCUGGCACAUACAGUAUAUGACCACCAUGCAUCAAAAUGCUUUUCCAAUGAAAAUUGUAGUUCCUUACGAGGCUAGCUCACUCUAUUCUCCAUGAUCUUAUGCAAGUUCUUAGAUACAAAUUAAUCAAGCCCAAAAAUAUAUAUAAAAAAUAUCCCUCACUUCUUUUGGUAUUUCCUUUUUCUUUUAACUUUUUUUUGUGUCUUUUAUUUAAUGCUUCUUCUCCUCAUUUUUCUCGCUUUUCUUCAUCAUCUCCUCCUCUCUUUCAUGAGUGGAGUCACCGACCGAUAACAAUCUAUAAAAACUCACAACUUACACAAGGAUAUAUCCUCAUUCCGGUGCGUACGAAAGUGUGAACUCUUCAUUAGAAUAUUUAUUAUAAUCUAGUUAUAUUUAUACUCUAAUUAAUAUUUAAAUUUUAAUUUAUCUCUAAUAGAUUUAAAUAUUAAUUUUUAUCUAAUUAAAAUAUUAACUACAAAUCUAACCACUACCCAAAUCUUAACAAGUGGGACGUGACGUAAAUGGUAAUUGUUUCCCGGAAAGGAUAAGGCCAUGAGUCUUAAUUAAUUGUUGGAUGGGAGUUGAUCGAUGACCCAUGAGUAUUGACUUAUACAGAUUAAUAACUUGCUCAUUUAAUUAAUUGGCCCGCUUGUAUGUAAUUAAAUUCUUCAAGCAUUUUCUUAUUAUAUAGUAUUAGAUAUAUGAGAAAUUUUCACAUCACAGUACCGUUUCCUUUUGGUUAUUAUUGCAACCACACAUUGGGCUACUUAAAAACCCGUUUACUUUAUUUGACUUCUCUAUGAAGUUGAUAAUAAUUUGACACAAAGCUACAUACACCAAUGACAUGUCUUCAAUUAAUUUUUGGCCAUUGAUUUCCAGCAAUAUUGCAACGCUGUUACAUAUAGUUAGCUUACGGUUUAUAACCAAGUCAUUAGUAUCUCAAUAAUAAACACCGAAGUAUAUAUUUAGAAUUGUGGGUACGCAAGAUUUGAGGUGAAAAAAAAAAUUUAGGCCUGUUUGGAUGCACAGUAAAAAAUCUCCACGGGAUUUAUAAACUGUGGUUUUGGUCCAAAUAAAAUAAAGAAUUCUGUAACUCUAAAAAAAUUCCACGGAUUCAAUUUUUAAACUGUUUGGAUGCGCAUUGUGUAAUUUCACGGGAUUUCUCUAAAUUUUAAAAUUAAAAGUUAAAAUUUCAAAUUUUAAAUUUCAAAUUUCAAUGAAAAUUAAAAUUUAAAAUUUGAUAUGUGAAAUGCGAAAUUUUAAAUUUUGAAAAUUAAAAAUUAAAAAUAUAAAAAUCUAAAUUUAAUUUUAAAAUUUUGAAAUUUAAAAUUUUAAAAUAAAAAAUUUUAAAUUAAAAAAUAAAUUUAAAAUUUAAAGUUCAAAUUUGAAAUUUGAACUAUGAGAUUUGAGAUUUAAAAUUUGAAAUUUGAAAUUUAAAAUUUAAAAUCUAAAAUUUAAAAUUUAAAGUUUAAAAUUUAAAAUUUAAAAUUUAAAAUUUAAAAUUUGAAAUUUGAAAUUUAAAAUUUGAAAUUUAAAAUUUGAAAUUUAAAAUUUAAAAUUUAAAAUUUGAAGUUUAAAAUUUGAUCUGUGAAAUUUAAAAUUUCAAAUUUGAAUUUCGAAAACUAAAAUUUAAAAUAAAAUUUGAAAUUCUAAAUUUGAAAUUUGAAAUUUGAAAUUUAAAAAUUAAAUUUGAAAAUAAAAAAUUUAGAAUUAAAAUUUGAAAUUAUGAAUUAAAAAAUUUAAAAUUUGAAAUUUAUUAUUUGUAAACUAAAAUUUAAAACUUGAUAUUCGAAAAUUAAAAUUUGAAUUUAUAAAAUUUAAAAAUUUAAAAUUUAAAAUUUGACAUUAAAACUUUGAAAUUAUAAAAUUUAAUUUUUGAUAUUUCAAAUUUAAAAUUCAAAAUUUAAAUUUGAAAUUAAAAUUUUGAAUAUAAAUUAAAUUGUAAAAUUUAAAAUUUGAAAUUUAAAAAUUAGAACUUGAUGCAACUUUGCCCAAAAAUGGUGGAAUUCUUUUUUCCUUUGGUUAGAGUGGAUUAUAAUUUUACUCUAUUUUUUGCUGUAUAGUUUAACUAUACUCGAAAAAUUACGGUAUAUUUUUUUUUCUCCCAAACGCUUUAUAGGAUAAAUUUUCCUACCGGCGUAGUAUAGUUUAACUAUACUACAUUUUUAAUGGUAUCCAAACAGGGCCUUAGCAAUUUAUAAGAAUCUGAAAAUUUAGAUUUUACAAAGAUACAUUAAUUUGUGUGGGACCCUAAGGCUGCGUUUAGUUGGAGAACUAAAUAACCUCUUAAUUAUAUAGUCAACUUAAUUAUAUAGUGAAACGUUUUAAAUAAUCUUAACAUUCCUGCUAGCACGUAUAGUUGAUAUCUAAUAAUAAAUAUUCUUUUAAUAUGAAAAGAGUUUAAAAUCAAUUUUAAUAUUAUUAUAUUAUCUAAAAGAGUAAUCUUGCAAAUAAAUGAUCAUGUAUUUUGGCACUUCAAAGGUCAUAAAUACAUAAUAGCUACACUAUCCUACUUCCUUUUUUAAUGGAAAUCUUAUCUUAUAUAGAAGAAAAAAAAAAAAAAAACUUUUCUAGCUAGUAUACCUCUCUUAAAGGGAAAAAAUGAAUACAUUACUCCCAUGCAGCAGCAGCAGUAGCAGUAGCACUCCUCUCUGCAUCAUUCUAUUAUUAUUUCUGCUCUCAAUCUCAUCCAUUACUGCUCACGCGCGGGACACGAUAACAGUAGGCAGCCCGCUCGCAGAGAACGAGACGCUCGUCUCUGCGGGCGGCUACUUCGCCCUCGGCUUCUUCAACCCCCCGAACAACCCCGACCGCUACGUCGGCAUCUGGUUCAACAACAUCCCCACGCAAACCGUCGUCUGGGUCGCCAACCGCCUCGACCCCGUCGCCGCCGCCGCCUCCCCCUCCUUCCUCUCUCUCUCCCCCGACGGCAUCCUCACCCUCGCCUCCCCCAACUCCUCCACCCCACUCUCCACCACCGCAACUACCUUAACCAACCCCGUAGCUCAACUGUUGGACACCGGUAACUUCGUCGUGCGAGAAGCGACCGACGCCGGCGAUGCGGCCGCGUGGCAGAGCUUCGACUAUCCGACGGACACGAUGAUAGCCGGGAUGAAGCUGGGCGUGGACCGGCGGCGGGGGCUGAACUGGACGCUGACAUCCUGGCGAAGCGGGUCGGACCCGGCCCCGGGCGAGUACUACGUGGCGAUGGAAACGGCCGGGGACCCGGAGCUGUUCCUCUACUCCGUAGCUGGUCGGGCCCGGAUCUGGCGAUCAGGCCAGUGGGACGGGGUCCAGUUCAGCGGGCUCCCGGACAAUGUCCCGUACGGGGACUACGUGUACACGUUCACCAACAACGCCGCCGAGGUCUCCUACAGCUUCAACGUCCUGAACCGGUCCCUCAUCACCCGGGGCGUCGUGAACCAGACCGGGGUCGCACAGCAGUCCAUGUGGGUCCAGUCGAGGCAGGUGUGGAACAUCAUCUGGCACGCGCCGCAGGAUCCGUGCGACGAGAUGUCCCCCUGCGGGCCCUACGGGCUCUGCGACCCCACCGUCUCCCCCAUGUGCAGCUGCGUGCAGGGGUUCGAGCCGCGGUCGCCGCAGCACUGGGCGCUGCUGGACGGCUCGGACGGGUGCGUCCGCACGACGCGGCUCGACUGCGCCAACCGCACCGACGGGUUCGCCAAGGUGAGUCACGUGAACCUCCCGGACCCCACGAAUUGUACGGUGGAUGCGACCGUGGGGCUCGACCAGUGCGCCACCAGGUGUUUGGCGAAUUGCUCGUGCACCGCCUACGCAGCCUCGAAUGCCAGUAGUGGGGCCCGGAGUGGGUGCGUCAUGUGGUACUCCGACCUCACCGGCAUGCGGGUCUUCCUAGCCGAGGGGCAGGAUCUGUACGUACGCUUGGCGGCGGCUGAUCUAGGUACGUACGCAUACGUAUAAUAUACGUGCUAUUUAUUUAGUAAAUUAUUUGUAUUUGCAAAUUGAUAUUGCUUUGAACAUUCACCCACCCGCCCACUUGGAUUAUUAUGAUGCAUUUUCCUUUGGAAUGGUCCACACAAGUAUCAAUACUUGAUUGCUGAUCGAUAAAGACGUCUAAUUAAUCAACAAUUAAUUUCAUGGUACCUACCGUUAUCUCGUCGUGGCCUCGCUUCUGAAUUAGUUAUUGUACUAAGUCUUUUUUUUAGUGUGUGGUAGAAACAAAUUACUUGAAAUCUGAAGUUAAUUAAUGCUAACAUUAUUAUGCGAAAAUGAUAUUAUUUUUUAUCUUGAAAUAGGAUGCUGAAAUAAGUUCACCGGCGGGGUUUUUUUUUUUUUUUUUUUUUUUUGAGAGAUAGAUAGCACACUAUCUGUUUCGUUUAUUUCAUUUAGAAAUAAACUUCGUUGGAAAUAUGAAUCAACUAGGAUUCGCCGGUCGUGUAUUUCCAUCUUAUUCCAUUGACUUGAUUACUAUCCGCAAUAUUAGGUAGCCUAUAGGCGUGUUUGGGCUAUCCACUAUUGUGUUCAGAACUUCAGAUCGAUAAUUGACAAAUUCGCAUAAUGUUUGAUGGAAUAGCAAGUUGUCUCCAUAUUAUCUCUCGACUGAUCACUGCCUCAAUGAUGUUUGGACUGUGGCAUGCAAUAGUUCAUUUCAGUUUCUCACUUAAGCCAAAAAGUGUUGGGCAUUUUGUACACAAUAUACAUCUAGAUUCACCAGUAGAUAAGCUAAUCCAGAAGCUGGCCAAACAAAAUAUAUAGCACCUCAAACAAGAUAUGGUUUUUCCUUUGAUUAAUUGGAAUAUAUCUUUGCUUAAAUGAGAAGAUAUGGUGCUAAAUUAGGAAUGUCUACAGCUUCAGUUACAAGCCACUCUGGCAAGAGUGAUCAUGCACCCAUUGCAGCCAUUGUAAGCGUUUCUGUAUUGGCAUUCUUACUAGCAUGUGCUGGUUGGUAUAUUUGGAGGAUGAGGAAACUUAGGAAAUCAGGUAAUAAAACUACUAAUUCAGUACGCUUUGUUUGAAAAGCCCAAAUGAGUGUAAAUGGGAAUUAUAAGACAAUUAUUAACUGAUUGAACAUACAGGCCCAGGCACGUCAGCGAGUACUAUUUCCUUCAGUCAUAAACACCGCAAGGAGGAAAGUACUCAAGAUAGUGAUAUAGAGUUGCCAUUAUUUGAUUUGAGCGCUAUCGCAGUUGCAACAGAGGAGUUCUCUAACACAAAUAAACUUGGAGAAGGUGGCUUUGGACCAGUUUACAAGGUUAGUUUUUUGACCUUUCAUUAACUUUCAGUCCUGAUGGUUAUGAUUCUUUAGGUUACAAGAUUAAUUCUGGUCAAAAAAUACAAAUCAGUCACUAUUCUGACAUUGCUAAAGAACCAACUGUAUCUGAAGCUGAAUCUACUCUAUAAUAUAAAUACGUUAUAAUGAACUUGGAUUUUCAUAUACAUGAUGUGAAAGUGAGAUGCACUAAGAAAACUUUUGAGGAUGUUUUACCUGAUAGCUUAGGCAUUUUGAAGACUUGCUUAAUGAAUACAUGUAAGAUUACACUUGUCUUUUAAGAUAGUAAAGAAUUAUUUGUCAUAAUUGACUAUCAGGGUAAGCUUGGCAACGGACAAGAAAUAGCUGUGAAAACGCUUGCGAAAACUUCAGCGCAAGGCCCCAAUGAGUUCAAGAAUGAGGUCAUGCUAAUAGCAAAACUUCAGCAUAGGAAUCUUGUUAGGCUACUUGGUUGCUGCAUUCAAGGAGAGGAGAGGAUGCUUAUAUAUGAAUACAUGGAAAACAAAAGCUUGGAUAGGUUUUUGUUCGGUUAGUCUACGCCAUUCAUUCUAAAUGCCUUCUUACUUUGUUUCUACACUAUAAUUUUGACAAUGUAACAUUUCAGUGAAAAGUUAACAGUUUGAGAAUUUUCGCAGAUAAAGCUUACAGCGCAUCACUAAAUUGGCAAACGCGGUACCGGAUAAUCGAGGGGAUUGCUCGAGGGCUUGUUUACCUUCACCAAGACUCAAGAUUUAGAGUCAUUCAUAGAGAUUUAAAGGCUGGUAAUAUUCUUCUUGAUAAGGAGAUGAACCCUAAAAUCUCAGACUUUGGCAUGGCACGAAUUUUUGGCGGUGACGAGACCGAAGUCAAUACAAGAAAAGUAGUUGGUACCUAGUAAGUAUAUAUGCUCGAUCACAUAUAUAUAAAACAAUAUACUCUUGAUUAAGAGUUCAUAAUCCUUACUGAUUGUGUUUCAUUUUGUAGUGGAUAUAUGUCUCCAGAAUACGCAAUGGAUGGAAUUUUUUCGGUAAAAUCCGACGUAUUCAGUUUUGGGGUUUUAGUGUUAGAAAUUAUUAGUGGAAGGAGGAACAGAGGAGCAUAUGUUGAUUCCUCACACCUUAAUCUUCUUGCUCAUGUUAAGUAUAUUUAACUCAAACAAUUUAUAUUUUAACUGCUACAUUUUCUUAAACUUUUUGGAUCUAUAUUUAUAUACUUUUCGCAGGUAUGGAGUUUAUGGACCGAGGGGAAGAGUUUGGAACUAGUAGACGAAUCUAUGGAUUAUUCCUUCCUCGCUAAUGAAGUUUUAAAAUGUUUACAAAUUGGUCUUUUAUGCGUUCAAGAGCACCCCGAGGAUCGUCCCCUGAUGUCGGCGGUCGUUUUGAUGCUUGGUAGUGAUGGAGCAUCACUGCGAACUCCGAAACAACCCGGUUUUGCAAGGAGGAGGGUUCCGAUUGAGAUGGAGUUUUCGUCGAGCAAGCAUGAUUCUAGAACGUUGAAUGACGUGACUAUAACCAUGAUCGGAGGCAGAUAAAAGGAACAAUUAUGCAUGUAGUUUGGCUGAAUUUCGUUUCAUGCGGAAAUGUUAUAUAUUUGAGGUUUUGAUUUCUUUCCUUUCUUUCUUUUCUUUCCCACUUUUUGCUGGUAGGAAAAUUUAUAAAUAUGUUUACAAGCAUUGGGUUAUUUUUUUUCCAUGUUGAUGAAAUACCCAAUUAGGUCAAAAACCUUGAAGUUGUGCAAUUAUUACAUACAUCAAAAGAACAACAAUUAUUUCUACCAAUAUGAGUACAAUUGAAGUAUCAAACAAAUGCUUGUACAUGAGACUAUUUUCACGGAAAGAACGUCAAGACAGUAAAAUCAAUUUCUGCAAAACUUCCAAAAAGAAAACAAAAAAGAGAAAAAAAAAAGUUGACACACACCUUUAUCUACCCUCUGCAAUAGUUACAGUAACAAUAUUUGCAGUGUAACUCUGCGACGAUGAUUCUAUAUCCGAAAAGCCCCUGCCGAUACUAAAAUUUCAGGCUUAUUCGGGUUUUUCCCUGAAAAGAACCAACAAAUAGCUAUACAAAUUUCCAUAAUUGAGUCUGCACAUUAGUCACAUCGUUCCAAGAAUUAACUACCAUGUAUACAGGGCCAAAACCACCCUAUCCAGUCUUAUUAGCAAAUGCGAAACUGUCCGUAGCAUCCAAUAUCGCCCCUAGAUCGAAUGUUGGAAGGUCGAGAUCUUCAUGAGUACUUGUUUCAUCUUCUAAGCUAUGAUCUCGUGUUGAGCCCUUUCUAACUUGAUUCUGGACCCGCGUAUCAUGUCGAAUGCAUGUCAAAUGGCGAGGCUUCUGAUAACAACACUCUGUCUCUGUGCCUUCUCUUUAUGUUGCUUAGCUUUUAGGAGCAUCAAUUAUGGAAAUUAAAAGUCAACAUGUAAAGCCGCAAUAGCAUUUUGUCCAAUAGUUUGGACUUAAUAAGUGAUUAUUACUAGCGGGUCAGAUCGUUAUAAUUAGUAUCAGACCCGAAUACCAAUUUGAAGUGUAAGAGCUAGAUACUAUGCAAGACAAAAUAUUAUGCCAACGGAUUUGGUGGGAGCCACCUUUUAAACCAGUAGGAGCCAACUCUAAAAUCUCAUAUCGCCUAGUAAUAUUUUGGUCUAUCUGUAAUUCGGAUUUGAAUAUGAUGAAGACAUCAUGAUCUAAACAGAGGAGUUUGUAAUGUCCCAAUAAUCUCACAUCGAAUGAAAAAAUAAUUUUGGUUUGAAUAUAUGAAGUCUCUAAGCUAGUAAUAAUAACUGAACUUAAAAAUUUGGGUUAGUGGUUUGGGCCCAACAAGUUAUAUAUUAUUAUUAGCGGAUCGGAUCAUCACAAUUAGUAUCAAAGACGAACAUAACCGGCAAGAAAAUCUUACAACCCGGAUAAUUCUGAUCUAUCUGUAAUCUAGCAUACAGUACAUGACCACCAUCAAAAUGCUUUUCCAAUGAAAAUUGUAGAUCCUUACAUGGCUAGCUCGCUCACUCUAUUCUCCAUGAUCUUAUGCAAGUUCUUAGAUACAAAUUAAUCAAGCCCAAAAAAAUAUAAAAAUCGUAAUUGUUGCCCGGAAAGGAUAAGGCCAUGAGUCUUAAUUAAUUGUUGGAUGGGAGUUGAUGACCCAUGAGUAUUGACUUAUACAGAUUAAUAACUUGCUCAUUUAAUUGGCCCGCUCGUAAAUUCUUCGAGCAUUUUCUUAUUAAUUAGUAUUAGGUAUAUAUACGAGAACUAGUUCAAGACAUUUUCACAUCACUGUACCGUUUCCUUUUGGUUAUUAUUGCAACCACACAUUGGGCUACUUGAAAACCCUUUUACUUUAUUUGACUUAUUUAUGAAGUUGAUAAUAAUUUGACACAAAGCUACAUACACUAAUGACAUGCCUUCAAUUAAUUGUUGGAAAUUGAUUUCCAGCAAUAUGGCAACGCUGUUACAUAUCGUUAAUUAGCUUACGGUUUAUAACCAAAUCAUUAGUAUCUCAAUAAUAAACACCGAAGUAUCUAGAAUUGUGGGUACGCAAGAUGUGAGGUAAAAAAAAAUUUAGAACUUUAUAAGAAGCUGAAAAUUUAGAUUUUGCAAAGAUACAUUCAUUUGUGAGAACGAAUGUGUUUUUAUAUCAAAGAUAAGAAUCAUCUUAAUUAUAGUGAAAAGUUUUAAAUAGUCUUAACAUUUCUGCUAGCAAGUAUAGUUGAUAUCUAAUAAAUAAUUUCUUAAUAUGAAAAGAGCUUAAAAUAAAUUUUAAUAUUAUAUUAUCUAAAAGAGUAAUCUUGCAAAUAAAUAUCAUGUAUUUUGGCACUUCAAAGGUCAUAAAUGCAUAAUAGCUACACUAACCUUCUUCCUUUUUUUAUUGGAAUCUUAUAUAGUAAACUUUUCUAGUAUACCUCUCUUAAAGGAAAAAAAAAAAAGAAAAAAGAAAAAAAAAGAGACCCAACAAAUGCCCGCGCGCCAACCCUGUAAUGCUACGAUGAAUACAUUACUCCCAUACAGCAGCAGCAGCAGCAGCAGCAGCAGCAGUAGCAGUAGCAAGCCUCUCUGCACCAUCCUAUUAUUACUUCUGCUCUCCAUCUUUUUCAUUACUGCUCGCGCGCGGGACACGAUAACUGUAGGCAGCCCGCUCGCAGAGAACGAGACGCUCGUCUCCGUGGGCGGCUACUUCGCCCUCGGCUUCUUUAACCCCCCGAACAACCCCGACCGCUACAUCGGCAUCUGGUACAACAACAUCCCACCGCAAACCGUCGUCUGGGUCGCCAACCGCCUCAAACCCGUCACCGCCUACCACUCCUUCCUCUCCCUCUCCCCCGACGGCAUCCUCACCCUCUCCUCCCCCAACUCCUCCACCCCACUCACCACCACCGCAACUACCUUAACCAACCCUGUAGCCCAACUGUUGGACACCGGUAACUUUGUCGUGCGAGAAGAAACCGACGGCAGCGAUGCUGCCGAGUGGCAGAGCUUCGACUAUCCGACGGACACGCUGAUAGCCGGGAUGAAGCUGGGCGUGGACCGGCGGCGGGGGCUGAACUGGACGCUGACAUCCUGGCGAAGCGGGUCGGACCCGGCCCCGGGCGAGUACUACCUGGCGAUGGACACGGCGGGGGACCCGGAGAUGUUCCUCUACUCUGUAGCGGGUCGGGCGCGGAUCUGGCGAUCGGGCCAGUGGGACGGUGUCGAUUUCAGCGGGCUCCCGGACAAUGUCACGUUCCGGGACCUCGUGUCCACGUUCACCAACAACGCGGACGAGGUCUCCUACAGCUUCAACAUCCUGAACCGGUCCAUCAUCACCCGGGGUGUCGUGAACCAGACCGGGGUCAUACAGCAGUCCAUGUGGAUCCAGUCGAUGCAGGUGUGGAAGAUCCUCUUUCACGUGCCGCAGGAUCCGUGCGACGAGAUGUCCCCCUGCGGGCCCUACGGGCUGUGCGAACCCAACGACUCCCCCAUGUGCAGCUGCCUGCAGGGGUUCAAGCCGCGGUCGCCGCAGAACUGGGCGCUGCUGGACGGCUCGGGCGGGUGCGUCCGCACGACGCGGCUCGACUGCGCCAACCGCACCGACGGGUUCGUCAUGGUGAGCCAAGUGAAGCUCCCGGAAGGCACGAAUUGUACGGUCGACGCGACCGCUGGGCUCGACCAGUGCGCCGCCAGGUGUUUGUCGAAUUGCUCGUGCACCGCCUACGCAGCCUCGAUUGCCAGUAGUGGGGCCCGGAGUGGGUGCGUCAUGUGGUACUCCGACCUCACCGGUAUGCGGGUCUUCCCAGGCGAGGGGCAGGAUCUGUACGUACGCUUGGCGGCGGCUGAUCUAGGUACGCACACGUACUUACUACAAAUAUACGUGCUUUUUAUUUAUUUACUUAUUUAGUAAAUUAUUUAAUUACUAGUUAAGGGAUCCGCGCGAUGCUGCGGAUUAUUAUUUUAAAAUUUAAUUUUAAAAAUUAAUUAUGAAAUUAAUUUCAGAAUUUAAAUGUUACAAUAAGUACAUCAAAAAAUUUUAGUAGGCAUAGUAGUCCCCCAUUAGUUAGUGAAAUAAUUUUAGUAGAUAUCGUAGUCCCCCAGUAAUUAGUGAAUAAGAUAAGAAAUCAUUGUUUGUGAUUCUCGCAAUUAAUUUUCGUCAAAUAUAAAAUUAACUUAAGCUGCAUUAAUUUUUUUUUUAUUUUUCAAUGUACAAUUUAUAUGUGAAUGUUCAACAGCUCAAUAUUAUAAAAUUAAUAUUUAUAUUUAAUACCAGUAGUCUAAAUUAUUUAACAUUUAUUUAGGCUAAAUUACAGAAAACCUCACUGUAAUAACCCACUUUUUCACUUUCCCUCCCUGACAUUUAAAAAUAUACACUUUGCCCCCUUAUAAAAUGAAAAAUGUGCACUUCACCUCCUACCGUUAGGGUUCCGUUAUAAAAUAUUUUUUAUGCCGAAAAUACCCCUCCGCCCUCUUCCUUGUUGCUUCGCCUCCCUCCGGCUCGCCACCUCGGCCCCGCUUCGCUGCCUCGCCGCCUCGCCGCUUCGCCAUCCUCCACUGCCUCGCCCUCGCCCUCGCCCACCAUUCCCUUCGCCUUCCUCCGCCGCCUCGCCUUCGCCUUCGUUGCCCUUGCCUACCUCUCCAUUAACACCCACCUCGAUUCCCUCUUACUAUUGUCGAAAUCGAGAGGCUGCGAGGGUGCAGGAGGAGAAGGGGAGCAGGUGGAAAAGGAAAUGGACAGAAAUCGCAGUCGAAUGAGGUGGGAAUCGCGGCCGAUCGAAGGGAUGGCUGAGGAAGAUGAGGAAGAAGACAAAAAUGGCGAGGGCAAAAUGAUCAUUUUACACACCGUAAUCCCCUGUAAACAUUUUUUAUUUUAUAAGGGGGUAAAGUGUAGGUUUUUAAAUGUCAGGAAAAAAGUGAAAAAGCGGGUUAUUACAAGAAAGUUUUUUGUAAUUUAGCCAUUUAUAUAUUUUAUAUUUUACAAAAAUAAAUAGUAAAUUAUAUAAUAAAUUAUUAUAUAAUAAUAUAUCUAUAUACAAAUAAAAUACUAUAUAUAUUAAAUAAAUAUUUUAAUAAAUAAAUAUAUAUUUAUAAUAAAUACUUAUGUAUAAUAAAUAAAUAUAUAUUUUAUUAAAUAAAUAUAUAUAUAUAUACAUUAUAUAUAUAUAUAUAUAUAUAUACUAUAUAUAUUAAUAUAUAUUAUUAUAUAUAUAAGAGAAGAGAGACGAGGAUGAACGGAGAAGGGAGGUCACCGUGGAGCUUCCCUCUCACGUGGUCACGAGGCGAAAAUUGGCCUCGUUGGACCGCGAUAAAAGCUAAAAGAGCCGUGAUUUUUUUUUUUCGGACUUCCGCUGCUCCGAGUCAAUGGGCGCUGCUGCGCCUGGCCCGCACCCCUGUGCACCCGCUGUCGCCGUAACGUGACCCGGCACGCUGACCCUGGGCUCCUAGAUCCACGUGCUCUCUGCGAAGGCGAUACAUGCUACUUGUGUGAACCCGUUAGGUUGGAGGGACAGUUGUUCGGCGGGAGUCCGACUCACCCGUGGCGCGGUUUCCCGCGGCUCAGGGGGUCUCGCUGCUGUCAAACCUAUAGCCAGCGGGCCUCUAGAUUGCCGUUUCAGAGACACGCGGGCGUUCGCGCUUUACGCGCAGCGCGAUCGAAUUUUCCUAGAUCCCUGCUCACGGCCGGUCAUGGGCGUCGGACGUCUUUUGCUCUCUCCGGCUGAAGCGAUGAUAGUCUCGCGCAUCGUAGGGUCCCUCGUCCGAUGCUUGUCGUAAUCUUUGCCUAUCUGGGUGUUAACAGUCCGUCGUGCAUGUACUUGUAAAUGUUUGGAGAAUUCGGGCGGUUAAGCUCCACUUUCGCAACUUCAUCCAAUUGAAGUGGCCGUCUACAUUUGCGCAGGCGUGUGACACUAGCUAAAUUAAGGUGCCCACAUCUGAGUGGAAGAAAUGGGGUGUGUGUAUAUGUGGUGUUUUUAUGAUGUGAGGUUCUUAUGUAAAAUUAUUAAUAGUAAUAAUAUCGCAACCUUGGUUGAAGCAUUUUUUGGGUAGUGGCUUGGACCAUCUCCUGGAAGUCAGUUGUUGUGGGAGGUCGAGCCUGUCUCGAGGUUGAUAUGUAGUUUGCUUGGUCACUUGCCCAACGAAUUAUUUGUUGCUAAGUGGGCUGGGUCGUUACAUUGGUAUCAGAGGCCGUUCACAUAGUUGGACAUGCUGUAUCGAUGUCCUGGCUGAGUCAGGGUCUAGAUACGGUGCUAGCUAGACGAACAGUCGCUACAUCGCCUGGUGAUUCUUUGGGCUGUAUGUGUGUUGGGACUGACUGAGUGAACGUCAGGCGGGGCGUGGAGUAUGAAGGGAAGAGUCUAUUGACAUCAAUAUAAUGAUCGCUACAUUCUGGAAUGGCGAGGUAAAUGGAUCUGUGCUCGCGCAAAAGUGAUUGAUUACAAUCGGGGUUGUCGGGUGUGCUUUGUCUUGAUAGGUGAGUUUAUAAUGAGACUGUUCACCUGUAGUUAUAAAGACUCGCAGCGACUCGAAUUGAUCUAUUGUGACUGUGCGAGUCCUUAAGCUUUUUGGGGCUCACCAGUCAAAGUAGUGUGGGAUAGGUUACGUAAGGAUGCGUGGUUCGGGGAUUUCGUAUAUCACGAUACCAAUAGCUCCCAUAUCGCGACGUGUAUGUGUUCUGCUAGUGGGCUGUCUGUUACACAGCUCCGUCGCCGCCGGGGCUUCCGGCCGGCCAACGCUUUAAGCAACCACUAGUCUUUGGCCAUUGGUCGUGAUAGUGAAUAAUCACGCAUUUCACACCGGAAUAGUCACUUGGAUUCGCGGAUCGGUGCUAGUUUUCAACUGUUGGAGAGUUAACAUUAGCGAACAGAUCAGUAUUCUUUUUCGGGCCCUAAAAGCAACUUUAGUCUUUGUCAUCUUGGUGCCUCGGAUGUAUUAGAUAGGUGUCGGAUGUGGCAUUUGAGAAUUUCUUCUUCUAGUGCGAUUCGCGGUACCACAGCUCGUCGGAAGGUAGUGCAUUUUAUAUAAGAUACAUAAACAAGAUACCUCAGAUAGUUUAAUAGAUUCAUAAGAUUUUAGACUUAUAGAUUUACAUAGAAUAUCUUGUUAUUUUAUAGUCCAGAUAUCUAUUAAUCUAAUGGCACUCUCUCCUUAUUUCUAUGUCAUUUUCUAUUACCAUUUGGAUAUCGUAGGGUUGCACAUCAAAGUUCAUCAGUCUCCAGAGGUAAUCGGAGCACUCAAAUCGAACCGCUAUUCUGCUCGAUAAGGCGGUUGAGUAUACCCGAUGUGAUAUUAGUUUAUUAUCGUGACUAGUGUUUUUUUUUAGUGUUUCGUUGUCUUCGAAGAAUUAUAUACUUAGAUUAGUUGAAAUUCUUUGAGCUAGGCGGGUGUUCUAUAUCCGUUAUACAGUUUAUUAUUUAAAGCGCGGUUUUGCGGCUGAAAGGUAAUUUUCGGGUGGGUAACUUGUAAUGUAAAAUAUAUUGGUUGGUAGAUCACCAUCUGCGAUUUGUGAACUCGUGUAUAUUCUUAAAUUUUUGUAAUUGUGUGACUAUUGGAAUCUUUAGAAAUACCUAAUUUUGCAUAGUUAUGUUAUCGGUCUCUCAUAUUCUUAUAGCAAGAAAGAGAGCAUAUUUCUUGAAAUCUUGAUUUCUGAUCCGUACGCGUUAACAAAUAAUGGCGCAAUAGCUUCAAUUGCUGGUUUAUAUGUUACGUAAAAGCUAUUCAAUUUAUUCAUGAGUAGUGAGUUUUGUUUAUUUUUUAAUUUCUAAUAUACUUGUGUAAGAAGUUAAAUGUGUUAAUUUUAAAUUUUCAAUUUUCUAUCUCCUAUUCGAAUUUUUAAUUGUUCUAAAUCUAAUAAAAUCUUUAGAAAUUGAAUAAAUUAAUAAACGAUUUCAACAUGUUAGAAAUGUUUAAUACAAUUUCUAUCAACUAUUUUCACAUUUCAAUGUCUAAAUUUUUCAGAUUUUAGUAAUAGUUUAAGAAUCUAAGAAGUUAUGUGGAUAUAAGUUGCAGAGAUAAGAUGAUUUUUCAUAUUAGUUAUGAAAGUGUUUAUGUGAGUUUUUAAAUUUAAAUGCUAUCAAAUUAUAUAUAAAAUUUUGGUUAACCAUUACUUGUAAGUGAAUAUGUAUGAAUUUUUUAAUCUAAAUUGUAAAUUUUAAAUUUUAAAAUUUAAAUUUUAAAUAUUUCAAUUUCUUUAAAGUUGUGUAGAAAGUUUAAAGUAGUAUUCAAAGAUUUUUAUACGUAUUUAACUAUUUAAAAUUUCUCAAUUAAAUAUAUUUAUAAAUGUAAAAUUUAAAAUUUUAAAAUUUAAAUUUUUGUAGAUUUAAAAUUUUAAAUCCGGCAGCAGAAUCUCGAAUUCCAUAUAUUUUAAUAUUAAAGUGAAAUAUUGUGUUCUAUAUUUAAUUUUUCAUAAUUAUUUAUAUUUUUACUUUAAAUUUUAAAUUGGUAAUUUUUUUAAAUUUCAAGUUGUCUAAUUGUUUAGAUAUUUACUAUUUGAGUUUUUUCUAAUAAAUUUUACCUUAGAAGUUUAAGAAGGUUUGCAGGAUUUAUAACUUUGAUAUUUCCGAAUUAAAAAUUAGUGUUGGUUUAUAAUAAUUAAGAAACAUUUAAAAUUCAGAUAAAUUUAAUAAUUUGAAUUUUAGUUUAAAUUUAAUAUGUAAAUAUUUAAAUUUUUAAUUUAAAAUAUAUAAUUUUUAAUCCUCAAAUUGUAAUUUUUAAAUUUUAAAAUUUAAAUUUUAAAUAUUAAAUUUAAAUUUUAAUUUAAUAUAUUCAAAUUUUAAAUUUAAUAUUUUAAAAUUUUAAUUAUUUAAAUGUUAAAAUUUAACAUUAUUUUUAAAUUUUGAAAUUAAAUUUAAAUAUAUUUUAAGUUAAUAUUUUAUUUUAAAUUCAUAAUUAUUUAUAUUUUUACAUUUAAAUUUUAAAUUUUAAUUUUAAAUUCAAAUUUUAAAUUUAGAUUUUAAAUUUUAAUUUUUAAAUUCUAAAAUUUAAAGUUUGAAUUUAAAUUUAAAUUUAUAUUUUUAUAUAUUAAAAUUUUAUAUUUUAAAAUUCAUAAUUAUAUAUAUUUUUAAAUUUAUAUUUAUAUUUUUAAAUUUUAAAUUUCAUAAUUAUUUUAAAUUUUAAAUUUUUAAAAUUUUUAAUUAUUUUUUAAAUUAAAAAUCAAAUUUUAAAUUUUGUACAAUUUUGAAAUUUAAAUAUUUUAAUUUUAAUUCACAUUUAAAUUUAGAUUUUAAAUUAUUUUAAAAUAAAAAUUAAUAAAAAUAUUAAUUUAUGUAAAUAUUAAAAAUAAAAUUACCAAACAGCUUUUUGAAAUCUUUUCAGGAAAAUCACUUUUAUCUAAACUCUACCAAACGCUCUAUAGCCUUUAACCAAAAUUACUUCUCCAAACCAAAUUCACUUUUUCAGAAAUUAUUUUUUCAAAAGCUAGGCUAAACAGACCCUAAUUAAGAAAUCUAAAAGCUAUUUAUCAUGUAACUAACUUUGAGAGUAUUAAAACAAAAAUUUAAGGUUAGUUACUAAAUUUUUCUCCUUAAGCAAAAUAGUUUGGAGUGGAACAUAUGAUGUUCAAUAGAAGCCAAAAAAUUAACAAAAGUGGUAAAUUUUUUUUAAAAAAGCAGCAAAUGGGUAAUGCCGGCAACCGUCUCUUCUGUAAUUGGCUUGGAAUGUAGCAUCGGCGCCUACUUAUUAGACAAUCGUGCACGUCUUCGCUAACCAUUAAUUUCCAAGAUUCGUUAAGGUUUAUAACGAUUUCUUGUGUAAUGACUUGACCAGUAGCAAUAAUAAUUUGUUCGGCUCAAAUUACUGGUCCAAAAUACUUAAACUCAGUUAUUAUUAUUAGUGUUCAGAUCUCUUAUAUAUUCAAUUAUAAUUCUAUUUUCAUCAUAUAUGUAGAACUGUUGGGUGUCAUAGAGGAAUGGAAUUAUGAUUGGAUAUAUAAAAGAUCUGGACACUAAUAACAACUAGGUUUAAGUAUUUUAAGUCGGUGAUUUGAGCUCAACGAUUUAUUAUUACUAGUGGGUCGGAUCGUUACAUUUCGUAUUAGAGUCAAUCACUAACCGAAAAUGUAAAAUGAAUCUUGGCCGAGGUAGAAUCAGAAUGACAGACUAAGCCAAGAUCAGAAUGAUAAGGUGACAAACUAAGCAAAGAUCGAAAUGAUAAGUUUAGCGAGACAAAUCUCAUAUCGCCUAACGAUCUUGGAUUGUGUGUGUCAUUGAGUUGAGAGAAUGUUAUGGUCUAAACGGAGGAAAUCUGUGAUACUCUAAUAAUUUCACAUCGGAUAAAAAUAAAAUUAUUAUUGGAUAUAUAAGAGACCUGGAUACUAAUAAUAAUAACUUGGUUUAAUCAUUUUGGGCCUGUGGUUUGGAUCCAACGAUUUAGUAUUACUAAUGGGUCGGAUUGUUACAUUUGGAAUAAAAACUCUGCCUGUCGUACCGAAAAGUUGUUGAUACUGUUCAAUGUGAACCAAAAUGUGCCUUUAUUUAGCUGCACUAUCAAGCUGGAAAUAUUCUCAUAGGUUGAUAAAAUGGUUUUGGGUCCUCUAUGGCCUUAAUAUAUGAAUUGUGUGGGUUUUUGUCCAGGUGGCAGCACAAGGUUGAGGGCAUAUUUUUGUUUCACUAAAACGGAACUUUGGGUUGAAGUGACGUUCAGUGAAAACUAUUUCUUCUCUGUUGUUUGUUUCGUAAUUAUGGAAGUGAAGUUUUAUUAAUUCUGCUGUUUGUUUGGUAAAAAGUGUAUGAUGUAUAAUGAAUAAUUUAAUAAAUAAAAAUAAUAUAAUUAUAUUUUUUUUAUAUAAUUAAAAUUUAAUUUACAACAACUAAAUUAUUUUUUUAUACAUAAAUUAUAGUAAUGCAACAAUAAAAUUAUAAAUUCUUAAUUAAUCAAUUUUUAUCAUAUUUUAAUUGUACAAACUAAAUAAAAAAAAUUAAAACUUAACUAAUCAAUUUUUAUCAUAUUUUAAAUAUGCCAAAUGAAUAAAAAAAAUAAUUAGUACUAUAAUUAAAUAUAUUUAAAUAUAACUAUUUUUAUCUAGUAUAUUAUUUAUUAUUUUUUUUCACCUUUCGUUACUGUAAUUGACUUCGGCCCAUACGCCAUUUCAGGUUAACUGAAGUUUCGACCGCAAUUUUUUUGCGGCGAAACAAACAACGAAAGUGAUCGUUUAUGAUGAAAACGACUUACCCCCUCUCCCCUUCCACCUCACUUCCACCCAAACAAACAUGCCCUGAGUGGAGGGGUGGGGUGGGGUGGGGUGGGCUUUUUCUUCUUUUUUUUUUCAACCUGAUUUUUUUUUUCGACGAACAAGAAAAAAAUAUAUAAUUUUUUUUAAAUUAUUCAUUAAAAAUUAUGAAGUUCAUUGUCAUAUGGAUAUUAGAUUUUAUAUUUCAAGAUAAUUCGGUAAGGUAGUUAAAUUAUUUUUUCAACUAUUAGCCAAUUCAUUUUUUUAUAAAAAAAUCAUUAACUAAAAAUCAUCAUAAUAUGCACAAAACAUAAUAAUAAAAAUUUUUAAUUUUUUUGGUGAAUAAUUAAUUGUACUCUAAUCAUUGUAGCAAAUAAAUUAUAAUUUUUAUACUGAAAACUCAAAAAGAAUUGCUAAACCUUAGGGUGUUCAAUAUUUUAUUUUUGUUGAAUAAUAUUUUGGUUUCUUCUUUCUACUAAAAACUCAAAAGAAUUAUCUAAGCUUUAGAAUGUGGCUUAUAGUAUAAUAAAUUAUUUUAAAAUUUUGUAUUAUAUGUAUUAUAUCAUAUUAUAUUUUACACUAUUAAGCUUUAUAGGUCAGAUAUAUUUAAUAAAAUUUUGAUAUUAGAAUAUUAGUUAUCUAAUAUAAGUUGUGGUAUAUAGAAUAUUAAUGUCCACCAAGUGUAUAUAAUAGUUUUUUUCUUUCUCCAAUCAAUUUUAACAUGAUAAAGACAUCUCACAUAUUCUUCAACUUCAACUUUAACUUUUUAGCUAAAAAUUUAUUUAUAGAAUAGCUAUCAAAACUAUUAAGCUUGAUUGACUUUUUUUAAAUAAAAUUAUUACAUAAUUUUACUCUGCAAAUAAUGAAAGUUAAGGAAGUAUUAAUAACAAUUAUUCUUUAUAAUGUAUAUAUAAGAAUACUAUACUUUUUUUUUGCAUAUUUUUUUAACUAUAAUUUUUUUUAAUUUUAAAAUUNUAUUUUACACUAUUAAACUUUAUAGGUCAGAUAUAUUUAAUAAAAUUUUGAUAUUAGAAUAUUAGUUAUCUAAUAUAAGUUGCGGUAUAUAGAAUAUUAAUGUCCACCAAGUGUAUAUAAUAGUUUUUUUCUUUCUCUUUGCAUAUUUUUUUAACUAUAAUUUUUUUUAAUUUUAAAAUUUAAAUAACUAUAUAUUUUAAUCGGUUGAAAUACUAUCUAUCCACAGCGAAGCGCGGAUUCUACACUAGUAUAUAAUGAUAGGAUUGGAUGUGUAGGAUUGUUAAAAUUAUCCUGCUUUUUCUGUUUUUAAGAAUAUUAGUAGUCUAGUUUUUUUGUCAAAAUAAUUCCGAUAGCUUUGCAUUGAAGCUAGAAGAAGAAACUAAUGCAGUAGGUAAAGAGAAAAAUCCUCAAUGAGAAAUGUAGCUAAAGCAAGUACACCUAUGUUUAAUGGGAGAGUGGUUUGGUUAGGGGAUAGGAAUAGGAAUAGACCCUUAUCCCCUCUUUAUACCCAAACACUAAUUUUUUACCUGAGAAUAGUAGUUCUCGGUUAUUCCCACCAACACCUCCAUUUUCUAUAUAAAAUUAUCUAAAAUUGUUCUUAUUUUCGGAAACAACCCAAUUUUCAUCCAAACACUAUUUUUCUUAUCUCCAUACUUGUAUCUAUCCCUGUAAUAAUUAGUUCUUGCUUAUACCCGAACCAAACGGUACCUAUAGUGUAUUUCCAUCUUAUUCCAUGGACUUGGUUAAUGGUUACCAUCCGCAAUAUUAAUUAGGCAGACUAUAGGGAUGUUUGGGCUAUCCACUUUUGUGUUCAGAUCAAUUCGAGAAAUUCGCAUAAUGUUUGAUGGAAUAGCAAGUUGUCUCCAUAUUUUCUCUCUACUGAUCACUGCCUCAACGAUGUUUGGACUGUGGCAUCUAAUAGUUCAUUUCAGUUUCUCGCUUAAGCCAAAAGGUGUUGUUGGGCAUUUUGUACACAAUACAUCUAGAUUCACCAGCAGGUAAGCUAAUCCAGCAGCUGGCCAGACAAAAUAUAUAGCACCUCAAACAAGAUAUGGUUUUCCUUUGAUUAAUUGGAAUAUAUCUUUGCUUAAAUGAGAAGAUAUGGUACUAAAUUAGGGAUGUCUACAGCUUCAGCUACAAGCCACUCUAGCAAGAGUGAUCAUGCACCCAUUGCACUCAUUGUAAGCCUUUCUGUAGUGGCAUUCCCACUAGCAUGUGCUGGUUGCUAUAUUUGGAGGAGGAAACUUAGGAAAUCAGGUAAUAAAACUACUAAUUCAGUACGCUUUGUUUGAAAAGCCCAAAUGAAUGUAAAUGGAAAUUGUAAGACAAUUAUUAACGGAUUGAACAUACAAGCCCAGGCACGUCAGCGAGCAAAGAGGAAAGUACUCAAGAUGGUGAUAUAGAGUUGCCAUUAUUUGAUUUGAGCGCUAUCGCUGUUGCAACGGAGGGGUUCUCUAACGCAAAUAAACUUGGACAAGGUGGCUUUGGACCAGUUUACAAGGUUAGUUUUUAACCUUUCAUCUUGCAUAAAAGAAUCAAACUUCUUAUACCAUUGUCUAGAUGCUUGCUUUAAACCAUAUAAUUCUUUUUUUAAUUUACAUACUAAAUUAGGAUUAGCUUCUAUAAAGCCUUCGGGUUGAAACAUAUAAUUUCUUCAUCCAAAUUACCAUGCAAGAAAGCGGUUUUAAUAUCAAGUUGCUCAAGCUCAAAAUCCAAAUUAGCAACCAAGGAUAAAACAACUCUAAUUGAGCAAUGCUUAACAACGGGAGCAAAUAUUUCAUUGAAAUCAAUACUUUGCUUUUGUCCAUAGCCCUUAACAACAAGCCUUGCCUUAUAUCUCUUGGAUCCAUCGGCUUCAUUCUUGAUCACAUAAACCCAUCGAUUUUUCAAUGCUUUCUUUCCGACCGGAAGCUCCACCAACUCCCAAGUAUGGUUUUGAUGUAAGGAAUCCAUCUCAUCCUCCAUUGCCCUUUGCCACUUUGCUUUUUCGAAGCAAUCUUUUGCUUCCUGAAAACACUCGGGCUCACACAAAUCAGUAAAUAAAGCAUAAUAUAAAGAAGGAGAAUAUCUUUGGGUGGGUUAAUGUAGCCUAGUUGAUCUUCUCAAAUCAUGUGCCGGCGGGGUAGACAUAUCGUUCUCACUCUCAUGAGAAUCAUGCCGACUUUCACUAGAUUGUGUACUUUCUUCAUGAUCAACAUUAUCAUCAUGACCAACAUCACUAUCAUGAAGUGGAGGAUGAACUUCAUGUAUAUCUUGAGAAGAACCAUCAACUUGUACAUCAACAACAAGUUUAUCUUUCUUUUGCUCUUCUUCCGUGCCUUCUUUAAACAUUACAUCUUCUCUAAACACAACAUCCCGGCUCCGAAUAAUUUUUCUAACAACGGGAUCCCAAAGUCUAUAACCCAACUCAUCAUCUUCAUAGCCAAGAAAUACACAUUUCCUUGCUUUCACAUCAAGCUUUGUUCUACUUUCUUUCGGAAUAUGAACAUAAGCUUCACACUCAAAUAUUCUUAAGUGCCCAUAGGAAAUGUCUUUGCCACUCCACAUAAUUUCUAGAAUGUCUCCAUCUAAUGCAACACUAGAUGAUCUAUUAAUCAAGUAAACGGCCAUAUUUGCCGCUUCGGCCCAAAAGGACUUUGUUAGGCCGGAGUGCGACAACAUACUUCGAAUCCGUUCCACAAUUAUUCGGUUCAUUCUUUCAAUGAUCCCAUUUUGUUGUGGUGUGUAGGGAACCGUCUUCACUCUUUUGAUGCCAUUCUCAAAACAAAAAUCAUCAAAGGCACUAGAGCAAAAUUCACGACCAUUGUCAGUUUGCAAGCACUUAAUAAAAUGGUCACUUUCCUUUUCAACACGGGCUUUGAAUUUCUUAAAAGUUUCAAAAACUUGAUCUUUUGAAGCCAAAGGAUAAAUCCAACACUUUCUAGAAUAAUCAUCUAAGAAAGUAACAAAGUAGUAUGCACCUCCAAGAGACUUAAUAUUGAAAGGACCGCAAACAUCGGAAUAAACCAAUUCCAAUUGCUUGACCUUUCUAUGCAUCUCAUUUCUUUUAAAGUUAACUCUAUAUUGUUUUCCCAUAAUACAAUAUUCACAAAAAUCAAAAAAUGAAUGCUCAAAGGAAAGAAUAAGUUUAUGUUCUUGUAAUACCUUCAUACCAUGCUCACUUAGAUGACCAAGCCGAUUAUGCCAAACUUGCAUAUUUUCGCCUUUGCUUGCGGUAGUAACCAUCAAAUUUGAAUCAUCACCCUUUUGAGCGGUUCCAUGAAGUGUAUAAAGACUUUCAUCCUUUUGCCCUUUCAAAAUAGUCAUGCUACCCCUUGAUACCUUCCAAGAGCCCUUUCCGAAAGUGAUAACAAAACCGGAAUCAUCCAAUUGUUCCGCCGAUAUUAAGUUCUUUGUGAUCUCCGGAACAUGACACACAUUUGUCAAUGUAUGCUUUUGACCAUUUGUUUGCUUUAUGACAAUGUCACCCAUGCCAAUAAUUUUACAUGCCCGAUCAUUACCAAGAUAAACAAAUUCACUAUCUACUUUUUUGUAUGUAGAAAAAUAUGAUCGAUCUCGACAUAUAUGAAAAGAAGCACCGGAAUCCAAAACCCAAGUGUUUGCACAAGAAGAGACCGUGCAAGCAACAUUUAAUGUGACUCCACUUUCACCAUCCGAAGCAUUGUUAGCUUCAUUCAUGACAUCCUUACCUUUACCUUUUUGCUUAUUUUUCAAAGCAUAACAAUCCUUUCUCACAUAAUCCGUCUUCUUGCAAUACCAACAAGUAAGCUUUCUACCAUGUGAUUUUGAUCUUCCUUUACUUUGAGAUCUUCCCUUUGUGUUGGAAUAUUGGCCUCGCUUCGGUGACCUUUCUCUUUCAUCAAUAGUUAGUGCUUGACUCAAAUCACUAGACAAUUGAUUUGUGGCUUUGCGAGUUUCCUCAUUCAACAAUGAAGCAACAAUAUCAUUCAACUUGAAUUUGUUCUCCAUUGUGUUUGCCACCAUAGAAACAAGAGUAUCCCAACUUGAAGGUAAAGAACUCAAAAGUAGUAAACAAAGGACUUCUUCAUCAAGGUUAAUUUUGAGAGACUUCAAUUGUGCCGCAAUAGAGUUGAACUCACUCACAUACUUACGAAUAGUAGAACCUUCUUACAUCUUCAAGAGAAAGAGUCUCUUUAUUGCAUGCAUCUUGAUCACACCAGAAGGUUGCUCAAACGAUUGCUCCAAAGUCUCCCACAAUUCGGAUGUUGUCUUGCAUUGAUAGACAUCAAAUAAGAUCGAUGAUGAAAUGCAUGGUCUAAUCGCCGCCAAACAUUUUCGGUCAAGUAUAUCCCAUUCAUGAUUAUCCAUACUAGUGGGCUUUGCACCUUUUCCCAAUAUUGGUAAAUCAAGCUCUUUUGCAACCAAAUAAUCCUCUAUCCCGAUUUUCCAUACAAGCCAAUUGCUCUCAUUCAACUUCUCAAAUUCCAUAACUUUCUCCAUUUGAAAGAUGAGUGAAUAAAUACAAAUGAAUGCUUAGAUAACCACCAAUCAAGCUCUGAUACCAAUUGUUGUUAAAUAAAGGUGAAAAAUAUGGAUGACAAUUUCACAAAUACUUGGUGGGCAAUUUCACAACCCACUCUCUUUAAGCAUCAAAUGGAGAGCCAAGCACAAGAGCAAUAACAAAAAUAAAAACCACAAGAACACAAGGAUUUAUAUGGUUCGACUAUGCCUACAUCCACGGGAGAACAAUGCAAAAGAAGCUUCCACUAUAAACUUGAAUAUUAUAAGAGAGAUUCAAAUGGGAGAAAUAUCACCUUAACUCCAAGGUAUAAAAGAGAGCUCCAACAAUCUUUAGCUCUAUUCAAAUGGUGUAAAUCACACCUCACAAGGAAGAUCUCACAUCCUUUUUGAUAGAACCAAGAUCAAAACCAAGCCUAGGAUUUUCUCUCUUUUCUCCCACUUUUUUUCUCACUCUCUUAUUCUCUCUCUUUUCUCUCAUAUUCUAAUAUCCCACUUUAGCUCUCUAAGAGAAGAGGCUAACAAUAUGGGCCUUUGGAUCAAAAGAACCAUGAUCCAAAGACUUACAAAUAGGGGCCCACAUAUAUGAUAAGAAAAUAUAGAAAGAGGAGAUUUUGACUUCACCAAAUUACAUAGCCCAAAUAGUAAAGCCCAAAUAGAAGUAGGCCCAAUGUAAUUAGCUCAACACUAGUCUUACAUGAUCUAUUUGAAUUAUUUAUGUCGUGAUUGACUAUCAGGGUAAGCUUGGCGACGGACAAGAAAUAGCUGUGAAAACGCUUGCAAAAACUUCAGCGCAAGGCUCCGAUGAGUUCAAGAAUGAGGUCAUGCUAAUAGCAAAACUUCAGCAUAGGAAUCUUGUUAGGCUACUUGGUUGCUGCAUUCAAGGAGAGGAGAGGAUGCUUAUAUAUGAAUACAUGGAAAACAAAAGCUUGGAUAGAUUUUUGUUCGGUUAGUCUACGCCAUUCAUUCUAAAUGCCUUCUUACUUUGUUUCUACACUAUAAUUUUGACAAUGUAACAAUUUAGUGAAAAGUUAACAGUUUGAGAAUUUUCACAGAUAAAGCUUACAGCGCAUUAGUAAAUUGGCAAACGCGGUACCGGAUAAUCGAGGGGAUUGCUCGAGGGCUUGUUUACCUUCACCAAGACUCAAGAUUUAGAGUCAUUCAUAGAGAUUUAAAGGCUGGUAAUAUUCUUCUUGAUAAGGAGAUGAACCCUAAAAUCUCAGACUUUGGCAUGGCACGAAUUUUUGGCGGUGACGAGACCGAAGUCAAUACAAGAAAAGUAGUUGGUACCUAGUAAGUAUAUAUGCUCGAUCACAUAUAUAUAAAACAAUAUACUCUUGAUUAAGAGUUCAUAAUCCUUACUGAUUGUGUUUCAUUUUGUAGUGGAUAUAUGUCUCCAGAAUACGCAAUGGAUGGAAUUUUUUCGGUAAAAUCCGACGUAUUCAGUUUUGGGGUUUUAGUGUUAGAAAUUAUUAGUGGAAGGAGGAACAGAGGAGCAUAUGUUGAUUCCUCACACCUUAAUCUUCUUGCUCAUGUAAGUAUGUUUAAACUCAAACAAUUUAUAUUUUAACUGCUACAUUUUCUCAAACUUUUUGGAUUUAUAUGUAUAUACUUUUCGCAGGCAUGGAGUUUAUGGAAUGAGGGGAAGAGUUUGGAACUAGUAGACGAAUCUAUGGAUUAUUCCUUCCUCGCUAAUGAAGUUUUGAAAUGUGUACAAAUUGGCCUUUUAUGUGUUCAAGAGCACCCCAAGGAUCGUCCCCUGAUGUCGGCGGUCGUUUCGAUGCUUGGUAGUGAUGGAGCAUCACUGCGAACUCCGAAACAACCCGGUUUUGUAAGGAGGAUGAUUCCGACUGAGACGGAGUCGUCGUCGAGCAAGCAAGAUUCUAGCAUGUUGAAUGACGUAACUAUAACCAUGAUCGAAGGUCGGUAAAAGGAACGAUUAUACAUGUAGUUUGGCUAAAUUUCGUUUCAUAAGGAAAUGUUAUAUAUUUGAGAUUUCGUUAGGAUUUAGUUAGAUUUGUAGUUUAAUCCUAGUUGAAUUAGGAUUAAUAUUUAAAUAUAAAUUAAGAUUUAAAUAUUAAUUAGAGUAAAAUCUAAUUGGACUAGAAUUUGGGUAGCUUUUAAUGUAAGCUAUAAAUAUAGUAUAGGUGCUAUUAUUCUGAUGGCGGUUAACCACACCCAUAUGGCAUGGUCAAGAUGGUCAUGAUUUUAAAUAACCUGUGUAGUUUUCGUGACCAAUACCUCGUGCAUGGAUGCAUAGGAUGAGAGAGAGGUUUUCUGGAUUUAUAGAAGACGAGAAAAGGGUGAGAGGGAUAGAAGAGGAGUUGUAAUCGUCUCUUCUCUUAUUUAGUAAAUCUUAUUUUACCAGCAUAUUUUCUAUUUGGUUUCUCUCUCUUGUGAUUGUAUUAGCUUUUACUGAUAAGACGGAUUUAUAAUAAAAAUUUGAUUUGAGGCUUCCGUUACGGAAUCCCAAUAAUUGGUACCAAAUUAACAACAGUCGGUAUCAGAGUGAAUUGCGGAUUCUCAAAAUUUGGUAUCAGAAGGAGUAUCAUAUUCCUAACAGGCUUUGAUUUCUUUCUUUUUUUUCUUUUCUUUCCCACUUUUUGCUGGUAGGAAAAUUUAUAAAUAUGUUUACUAGCAUUGGGUUAUAUUUUUUCCAUGUUGAUGAAAUAGGCAAUUAGCUCGAAAACCUUUUGAGUUGUGCAAUUACUACAUACAUCAAAAGAACUUUAAUUCUUUCCACCAAUAUCAUGAGUACAAUUGAAGUAUCAAACAAAUUCUUGUGCAUGAGAUUAUAUUCACGGAAAGAACGUCAGAACAGUAAAAUCAAUUUCCGCAAAACCUCCAAAAAGAAAACAAAAAAGAGAAAAAAAAGUUGAUACACAUCUUUAUCUACCCUCUACAAUAGUUACAGUAACAAUAUUUGCAGUGUGGCUCUGCGACGAUGAUUCUAUAUCCGAAAAGCCCCUGCCGAUACUAAAUGCAGGCUCAUUCGGGAAUGGCAUUGAUGCAGUCUCACUACCUAGCAUCAUGGUGACUGAGGACAUCAUCGGCCUGUGUCUCGGUUGCUCCUGAACACAUAACAGUGCUACUUGUAUGCACCUCUCGACUUCGCAGGCUGCGCAUGAUGUAACUUUCGGGUCUAGGAAUUCUAAGCUCUUUCCUUCCUUCCAUAAUCUCCAAGCCUGCAAUAUGUAUAAAAGGUUCAUUUCCGUCGCUCAUUGCAAUGAGAAACCAAGUUAUAUGAAUUCUGAAAUUCCAAAUGUUAUACUUGAGAAAAAAGUUUGGACAUUAAUUUCAUUUGUGGCAUAGGGUACUCUUUCAUGAUGAAGCUUCAAUUUGUUCGCAUUGCUAGCUAUGGUGAAGAUGUGACAAGCGCGUGGUUCGUAGAAAACAUUAAGGUAAGGAUAUGUGGAUUUAAUUGUCACCUUCUCAACUAUGAGUCUUUGACAGAACUUUAACUGUAAAUCCUGAGGGUCAACUAGAGCAGUAGCUACACAUGGGACAAGAAAUUUUCAAAUUUUAUCAUACUUACAUAUCUGAGGAGGUUUAAAUCGAGCUCUGAAUGGUAAAAUCCGCGAUUUCUCUUGCCGCUGACAAUUUCUAGCACCAACACACCAAAGCUGAAUACAUCGGAUUUUAUGGAGAAAACACCAUCCAUCGCGUACUCAGGAGACAUAUAACCGCUGCAGCCGCCAAGAAAGAACAUAAAGGUUAAGCGUAGUAGAAGUCUUAAUCUUCUUUGUGAAGAUUAACACCAGAUCUUUAAUAGAAAUAUUUGAGAAUGAUUACUUACUACGUCCCGACUACCUUCCUGGUGUACGCAUCGGUUUGAUCGGCUCCAAAUAUUCUCGCAAUUCCGAAGUCCGAUAUUUUCGGUGUCAUCUCUCUAUCUAGCAAUAUAUUGCUCGCUUUUAGAUCCCUGUGUAUUAUUCUGAAUCUUGAAUCUUGAUGAAGAUACAGUAAUCCCCGCGCUAUCCCCAAAAUUAUCUCAAAGCGCUUUUCCCAGCUCAAUUGCGCGCGCUUUUCUUCAUCUGCUUAGUGUAUCAUGUCAAGUUGUUAGAAUAUAUCAUGAACAGGUCAUUGUAGAUUACAAUAUGAAUAGUGGAAGUAUUUGAAGUUUGAACCAUGAAAUUUAUAAAACAUAAAAUUGUUCUAGUUUAAGUUUCAUGAAAACAAGGGCCUAAGUCGACCAAUUUAUGCAAUUAUAUAUAAUUUGCACUAAUAGUAUGCUAUUAGAUAAGUCUAAUUUGUAUGAAACAUCAAGUUCAGGAACAUACCGAAUAUAAAGGUGUUUAAGCUUCGAUUGUGCAUGAAUUCGUAGAUCAACAUCCUCUCUUCUCCAUGAAUGCAGCAACCCAAAAGGCGCACGAGAUUUCGAUGCUGAAGCUUAGCAAUCAACUUGACCUCAUUUUUGAACUCGUCAAUGCCCUGCGACGAUCUCCUCGAGAGCCUUUUUACAGCUAUAUCCUGUCCAUCUUCAAGCUUUCCCUGAAAAAAACCAACACAUAGUUAUAAAAAUUUCCAUAAUUAUCUCCGCGCACUUUGUAUCUUAACCAUAAUUGAAUCUGCACAUCAAUCACAUUGCUCCAAGGAUUAAUUACCAUGUAAACAGGGCCGAAUCCGCCCUCUCCAAUCUUAUUAGCCAAUGCGAAACUGUCCGUAGCAUCCAAUAUCACCCCUAGAUCGAAUGUUGGAAGGUCGAGAUCUUCGUGAGUACUUGUUUCAUCUUCUAAGCUAUGAUCUUGUGUUGAGUCCUUCCCAACUUGAUUCUUGACUCUGACAGAAAUAGGCCUGUUUCCAACAUUUGGCGGAAACGAUACUAUUUCGCUUUGAUUCUUCGCCUUCUUCUUUUUCCAGAUAAAAAAUCCACAAGCUCCUAAUAGAAGCACCCCGGAAAUCGUCGGAAGGAUAAUUGCAAGUUUGUUGUUGUUGGAGUCCCCACCACUGGAAGUUGCGUUCAGAUUAGCUGAAACAAAUUGAGUCAGUUAGUUUUUCUAAUCAAUGGAGUCAAAACUUAGCUAAUUACAUAAUACAUGUCGAAAGAAGUUUUAAAUUGAGGAUAUCACAUUUUAAUAUACUAGGUAGUAACAAUCUCCAAAGUUGGUGUUCACAUAUUUUAAUGUUGGUAUUAUAUUAUUAUGAUGUCUCUAACGUGAUAUUCCACCUAACGCUCUGCAUUGCUGAAUUCAAAUACAGUGGAUAUGUACCAUCCAACGGAUAACAUUAUUAAAGUAGUAUAUUAUACAUUAAGAUAAUUUGGCAUGUCAUGAAUGAUUACUACUUAACUAAUAUUCUUUGUAAUUGGUGACUACUCUUAAAAGUUAAAAUUAGCCAAUGGAGAAUGGUCAAGCUAUUGGAAUAAAUUGAGAAAGGAUACAACUUUGAAUGAGUCAAAAAACAAGGCUACCACUUUUUCACAAGGGAGUAUCCUCUUUCACAUUUUCAUUCUAUGCCGGUUCGCCAUUAAAGUAUCAUUAGAUGAUUCCAUUGCUUAAUGAUAGAUGAUCAAAAUGGACAAAAAUGCAAGAACAGAAAAGAAAGAACAUUUAGCUAACUUUAUGUGACAAAUCGACAAUUCGAUCGAAUGAAUUUCAGGGAACGAAUUGCUUACGAAUAUCAGCCGCCGCGAGCCGGACGUAAAGAUUUUGCCCGAAUUGAUCAAACUGUCGCAUGUCGAACAAAUCGUCGGUCCAAAUUAUGCACCCACUUCCUCCCCCACUGACAUUUGCAGUAGCAUAAGCCUUGCAGGAGCAAUUCUGCAGGCAACUCUGCUUGCACUCCUCAAGACUCAAGCUCAUGUUCACCGUCGCAUUCGUCGACUCCGGCAGCUUCACAUUCUGAUACGGCAGAAACCCGUCCCCAGCGCAGCUCAACUGAGUCUUCCUCACGCACCCUCCUGACCCGUCCCUCAGAUUCCACUCCUGCGGGAACCUCGGCUCGAACCCGGGCAAACAGUUGCAGAUCGGCGAGUCGUCCACAUUGCAUACGCCGUACGGACCGCAGGCCCGAUAGUCGUCGCAAUCGUCCUUCGGGUCAGACCAGAACACACUCCAGCUUUGUGUUGAAUUGAUCCACACAUACCGCUGCAACAGCCCGGAAGAGUUCAUCACGAACCGCGAAAUGAUUGAGCUGUUCUCGAUCUCAUACGUGUAGUAGGCCUCAUCUGGGUUGGACACAAACAGAAACUUGAGCAUAUCAUUCGACUUGAGGUCGGGAACUCCGGUGAACUCCUCGCCGUUCCACGGGCCACUCGCGUAAAUCCUCGUGGACCACUGAUACAAGUAGAACUCCGGCACGCCGCGAGGAUCCAUCUUGAAUGAGUACUCUCCUGGAGAAGGAUCAUUUGUGUUCAACCACGAGUUUAUGUACCGAUUCAACCCGGUUUUGAAUUUGUAACCGAGCUUCAUUCCUGCAAACAACGUGUCCGUCGGGUGGUCGAAACUUUGCCAUACAAUCUCCUCCGUAGCAUUACUACUUGAUUCUCCUCUCAAUACAAGAUUUCCCGAGUCUAAGAGCUGAGCUGUUGGAUUGGUUAUAUUCGAUGAUCCCGAGCUGGAAUUCCAAACCACGUUGCCGAGCCGAUCGGCCAGGAAAAGAACGCCGGUCGGGUCGAGAGUGAGGACUCCGGUCGAGUUCACGAUCGGGUUCGCGCGGUUUGCGACCCACACAACGGUUUGUACCGGGAUGUUAUUGUACCACAUGCCUAAGAAAGUGUUGGAAGAGCCGGGUGGAGUGAAGAAGCCGAGCUUGUAGGCUCCGCCGGCCGAGACCAGCGUCUGGUUCGCGGCGAUUGACGUGGCCGGAGUUAGCGAAUCCGCGGCAAUCGAGGGAGAGAUGAAGAAGAUGAGAAGAGGAAGCAAAAAAUGGAGGAGAAGUGGGCAUGGCCGUGUCCUCAUAGCUCUCAAGCUAUGUUUUCACAUUGAGCACGCAUUAACAUGGCCUCUGAGAUGUUUGUGAAAUAACAGGACUCAUUUAAAUGUCAAAGCCACGUGAGGAGAAAUGUUUUUUUUUUUUGAGAAAUAAGUAACUCGCUACCCACUUCAUUCACGUGAGGAGAAAUGUUAAUUGGAAAGUAUUUGUUAUGAUGUAAAUAAAUAAAGAUUUUUUAACUGUUAGUUGCAAUUUUAAUGUGGAUAUUUGUUUUCAUGAUUUUGUUUGCGUGGUGCGCAUGACUUUCUCUUUUGUGGUGCGUGUGUGGUUUAGAAUCCGCGUCAACGUUUGUUGUUUGACCAAACCUUGUAGCCGACCCAGACAGCGUGUAUAUGUUGACGUGGUGACUCAGAAGUUAUUGCAUGCACCGGGUGUACAACUAUGUUUCAUACACCACACAUCUAAAAGGUUCUAUUGGAAAGGAUUUAAAUCAAAAUCAAAAUCUAAAUCCCGAGACCCAAGUUCGAAUCCUAGUUGAUUCACAUUUCCAGCUAAGUUUAUUUCUUAGUAAAAUAAAACGAAGCGGAUAACGUGCUACCUAUCUCUCAAAAAAAAAAAAAAAAAAGCAAAAUCUUACUCAUCAGAUAAAUAAUAGCAUUUUUCUACUGUUAAUUGUCAACAUUAAUUACUAGAUGUUUUAGUAAUAAAUUUUUUAAUUCUUAUAAUUUUUUUUAUACAGGUUGCGCCCUCGACCUUAAGACAUUUUUAGCACAAAAAUUAGGCGCAGUGCAUGAAGCAUACAGGUGCACCGUGCACAAGAUGCAGAAAAAAUUCUCUUUGUUAAUAAAAGAUCAAGUCAUAGUUUUUGUACCCUAUGAAGUGAAUCAGUUGUUUAGUUGUGUAUCCAAUGGGAACAAUUGAGAACUGGUCCCUCUCCAUAUAGCAUCCAUUCACAUUUUUAACUAGAUGGUCUAGGGAAUAAUAAUUUUAUUUAAUCAUUACUUUGAUUUUCACACAAAUUAAGUUGGUCCUAAGAAAAUUAAAAAAUAAUUAAAAAAAGAGAAGGUGGAAGGUCAUCUUACACUUCCUUGGGGGGAAAAAAUUUAUUGAUAUAACACCAAAUGUCCUGGUGCAUUCCAUCAUAUGGAAAAUGCAUCUGGGGGAAAAAUGAAUGUAGACCCCCCCCUCAAACAAAAGGUUUCAAUCAAAGUUCUAUUUUCUUUACUUUUCAUUUGAAAAAUUGUAGAUUAUUGCAUUAAAAUUUACAUUAAACACGUAAGUGACUAUAUCAAAUUUACAAGGUUUCAAUUACUUUUGAGCGAAUAAAACUGAGUAACGAUUAGUAAUAAAGCUAUUUUUUAAGAAAAAUUUCAACCUAAUUGAUUAAAAUAGUUUGAAGAUCGAAGAACUUCAAGGAAAUAUGGAUUAAAUCAAUUCUCGGUUCUAUUUCAAUUGCAAGUGCAUCGUAUCCGGCAAUUCAAGCUGUUUCGGCACCGAAUUCUGAUUAGUUGUAUUCGGGCAUCACAAUAUACAGAUCCGAUCCGAUCCGAUCCGAUCCGAUCCAAUUGCAUUCCCGUCCCGCGAUGCCGAUUCGCCGAUCUCCGCCGACUCUCCGCCCACUUCCACCACCGCCACCUUCGCCGCCUCCCACGGCCGAAACCUCUCGAAACCCUAACCCUAAUCGGCGACCAUCCUCUUCCUCCACUCCUCUACAAUGCAAUGCCCCAUUGAUUAUUGUCAAAUCGACGCAAAAGAGCGCUUUUGUCCUCUCUGCGACUCCGUGAGCACAUCGUUGAUCUUUGUGAGGUUCAUAAUUCAGUUUGAAAAUUUGUGCAUUGACAUUGAAUGCUUUGUCCUGUUGUGUAUUUUGCAGUGGAAUUAAAUGAUCACAAGUAAAUCAAUUGCCUAUUUGGUUCAGUAUAGCAUCUGGGAAACAGAAAAAUUCGGCAGCUUUUGCGGUGGCAAGACGUAAAAAAUAAGAUUUUGAGUGCCAAUAGCAAGAAGCUCCAAUUUGGAGCUUUUGAAACUGACAUGUAGAGAACCUGUUGGGGAAAUUUUAAUAUAGUGCUUCUUCUAGGGUCAAACAAGCCCUAAUUUUGUUUACAAUUUCUCUCUUUUUGUUAGUUGUGUAUGUGGCCUAACUAUGACUUCUUGGCAUGAGUAACGGUUUGUCAACUCCUUCGGUAGAUGAUUUUGCGAGGCGCUAUGAAGGUGAUAAUUUGAUAAUGAUGUUAUAUCCUUCUAAUUUAUGCAAUCUUUUCAAACUUAUGAUGUGGUGAUACAAGUCAAGUCAAACCAUUUUUUACUUUCUUUUUUUUCGCUUCUUUUAUCAAACUUAUCAGUUAAUGCUAGCCAUGAUUAAUGCAGGUCUAUAUGAUUGGGUUUCUUGGGAACUUCAAUUGCCUCCAAUAAGCUCUUCAGUAUUUGGCCUUUAAGGAGUAUAUUUCUUAUGUGUCACAGCUUUAGAUUUAAAGAAACAUUCAGGUAAGUUACUUCAUAUUUCUCAUUUAUGGAGUAUCUGUCAAAACCUAACUUUUUUUUUCCCAUAUAAUAAAGACUAUUUUAUGAGAUUGUAGCUCUAUGCUUUAAUUUAUUUCAGUUGUAUCUACAAGUAGAGUGCGCGCAUUUUGUGCUUUUAUAUCGUGGCUAUAAAUGGUGAGAUGCUUCCUGUUUAUUGUAACCUUUGAUAAGAUAUUAGGGUCUUAAUCAGACCAAAUUUGAAAAAAUGACAUGCUGUUUGUUAUUUAAUCCUGCAGCUAAUUCAGAAAGUUAUAACUUAAAUGUUAUAACUGAGCCUAUCAUGCGGAAGAUGAGAAAAGGUUCUGAUAUUUGUUCCUUCAGUUUCCUUAUCGCCCCGUUCUCUAUAAACAAACUUCUCUCUUGUUAACUUAUCUAUGUUCUUUCUUUGUACCCUUAUUAUAUUUUCUACUCUGUAUUGAUGUCUCCUGUAUUGUGUGCUAUUGAUUACUAUUUGUAUACCUGUAAAACAUGUGGGGAUAGAAUUCAUGUCUAAUUCCUGUGCACAUUCUGUAUGUUUUCAGAAAUGAAAAAGGAUUUAAAUUUGGAGUGACGUUUUGGGUAUGCCAAUACCUGAUCUGUAUUCAUUACCACCAAAAUGAUUAAAAUAUAUGAAUAUAGAGAUACUAAGCAAUUAGAAGAAUUGUGAGCAAGCGCAAGUCUGCAAAGGUAAACAAGGAAGCAAGGAAGAUUGAGGUCUUUCUCUCAAAGCCUAUUUAAAUGAUCCUUUGCAUCCUCUACCUGUGCAGAGGAACACAAUAUUGGCAGAUUGUUUCCUACCUUCAUGACAAAGGAUUCGAACAAAGCAGCCAAGAUCUCUUUCUGGAUAUAUAAAAAGCAUGUCAAAGGCGAUGUACAUAAUUAUGU